This 63848-nucleotide long non-coding RNA is filed under the name Capsicum annuum. Its description in RNAcentral is "long non-coding RNA (CANN_LNC004220)". Lineage: Eukaryota; Viridiplantae; Streptophyta; Magnoliopsida; Solanales; Solanaceae. The record is from RNAcentral.
UGGGGCGUCAUUUCAUUCUCGUAACGGGAAUGAGUGCACCGUAAGACCAGACAAGUUGCUCCCUCGCCUCGCAGCGGCGGCAUCUGUCUUUUAAGUUAAGUCAUUUCCUAAGACGGCUCCAAGACCUUUGCAAGGAAGGGAAAGGAGGGAGAAUAAGGGAAGGUGGCAAGUAGCUGAUUGCACGCAGUGGAAGGGAAGGAGCCUAAAUCGACCCCCUUCUUUUUUUCUUUGAAAAAAGCAGUAAGGAGUAAGGAGAUUAAACUCUCGGAUGAGACUAAGCAGCUACCGAGAAUCCGAAGCCGGUUGCUAGCGGAAGUAGCGCGACAAAGAGCAAAGCGGAGCAUUCACAAAGAAAUGGUGUAAGCAGAAGGGAAGGCGCAACGGUUAGCGACUGCCCGAGGAGUGAUCCCUCUCUUAUUUUCCCUUUUUUAAGAUAAGAAAAGAGACAAUAAGCCCGUCAACAUUGAAGCUUCCGCUUUUGGCAGCUGUUAGGCAAGUGAUCUUACAUUUUGUUUUACAAAACAAGAGUAUAGAAGGUACUUUUGCAGACAAAUACUAUACAAACUAUACAAGACAUAUUAUUUCUAAUACAUCAAACCAAACAACGUACAGGAAAUAAUGCCAAUAUAACUCAUACCAACUUUAUUAAUGCAUGCAUUACUAAUACACCAUAUUGAACAUUAUUCUUAUUCACUCUACCAAACGAUCCCAUAAUUAAAUAGUCACUAUCCUUAACCGCCUUGAGCUGGAAGGCCCAAAACGCCUCCAACUAUCGUUGUUCUUCCUGUUCCUUUUGUCGCUGUUGAAGGAGUUGGUAGUAAGGUGCCUAUAUCGCGUAUCCGAUCUCCGUUGCAUUCUCCGCCAAUUGUUGUUCCUAUUGCUGCGGUUGAAGGUAGAAGUAGGGUACCUGUAUUGGGUACUCAACUGUCGCCGCUGCAUUCUCCGCCCAUUUUUGCGAUUUGUUCACCAUUAUGCUUUAGGUGAAGGACGAUAAUUUCUAAGGAGAAGAUGGCCGAAAAACGGGUCGGAAUGAAAAUAGGUGAUUGGAGAAAAUUUUGAUUUAAAUUAAAAUAAAAUAUAUUCAUGUAUAUGUUAUUUAAAAGUAUAGUUUUUCGGUACGUGCAUCGCACGUGUAUGCCAGUCAUGUAAUAUUUAAUUUUAAAAAUUGGAUUGACAAGAUUGGUAUAUUUCAUAUUUGUUUUAUCUUACAUUUUGUUUUACAAAACUAGAGUGUAGAAGAUAUUUUUAUAAAAAUAAUACUAUAAAAACUUUACAAGACAUAUAAUUUCUAAUACAACAAAACCAAACAACGAAUAGGAAAUAAUGCCAAUAUAACUAAUACCAGCUUUACUAAUGCAUGCAUUACUUAUACACCAUAUUCAACAUUAUUCUUAUAAACUCCACCAAACGACCCCCCUUAGUUAAAUAGUCACUAUCCUUACUCCUUGAGCUGGAAGGUCUAAAACGCCUCCAACUGUCGUCGUUCUUCCUGUACCCAUUCCUUCUGCUGCUGCAGAAGGAGUUGGAAGUAAGGUACCUACAUCGAGUAUCCAGUCGCCGCCGCUGCAUUUUCCACCGAUUGUUCCUGUUGCUGCUGUUGAAGAUGGUAGUAGGGUACCCACAUUGGGUAUCAAGCUGUUGCCGCUGCAUUCUCAUUCCAUUGUUGCGAUUUGUUCUCCAUUAUGCUUUCGACGAAAAAUGAUAAUUUCUAUGGAGAAGAUGGCCGAAAAGCAGGUCGGGAUGAAAAUAAGUGAUUUGGGCUAGAUACAUGUUGAGUUGUAUAGAAGAAUCAUAUUGGAGAUAAUUUUGAUUUUAAUAAGAAUAAAACAUAUUUAUGUAUAUAUUAUUUAGGAUUAUAGUUUUUUGGCACGUGCAUUGCACGUGUAUGCCAAGUCAUGUAAUAUAUAGUUCUGUAAAAUAAUUUUAACAAUUGGGUUUGCAAGUCAGAUUUUGUAUUAUUUUAUAUCUAUUUUAUCUUAACGAAGAGAGCAAAGUUAGUAUAAUUGAUUUGUCUUUUUCAUUUACCAUGUUUUGUUCACCAAGUCAUGUAAUAUUUAAUUUUAACAAUUGGGUUUACAAGUCAGAUUGGUAUUAUUUCGUAUCUGUUUUAUCUUACAUUUUUAUAUUCAGUAAUAAUUUUACUUAAAAUAUUUAUUUUAUCCUUAAUGAAUUUAUAGUCAUCCUUAAAAAAGUGAGUGAAAUUGCCAAAAAUAGAGGGUGUAUCCACUAUAUAUAAUGUUGUUGUUGCUGAAGGAGUUGGCAAUAGGGUACCUACAUCGGGUAUCCAGUCGGUGUCGCUGCAUUCUCUGCCAAAUGUUGUUCCUGUAUCUAAAGAUGGUAGUAAGGUAUCUGCAUUGGGUACCCAGCUGUCGCCGCCGCAUUCUCUGCAUUCUCCACCGAUUGUUGAGAUUUGUUCUCCAUUAUGCUUUGGAUGAAGGACAAUAAUUUUGAUGGAGAAGAUAGCAGUAAAACGGGUCGGGAUGAAAAUAGGUGAUUUGGGCUAGAUAACAUGUUGAAUUGUGUAGAAGAAUCAUAUUGGAGAAAAUUUUGAUUUUAAUAAGAAUAAAAUAUAUCCAUGCAUAUGUUAUUUAAGAGUACUAGCUUUUUGGCACGUGCAUUGCACGUGUAUGCCAGUCAUGUUAUAUUUAAUUUUAACAAUUGGCUUUACAAGUCAGAUUGAUAUUAUUUCGUAUCUGUUUUAUCUUACAUUUUUAUAUUCAGUAAUAAUUUUAUUUUAAAAUAUCUAUUUUAUCCUUAAUGAAUUUAUAGUCAUCCUUAAAAAAGUGAGUGAAGUUGCAAAAAUGGAGGUUGUAUCCACUAUAUAUAAUGUUGAUAAUCUUGGAAAUGCCGCUCUACUUGUUAAACCCUGUGCUCCUGUUUCCUUCAUCAUGUCUCAUUUUUUUUGAAUCUUCUGAAUGUGAAAAUGUGGAAGUUGCUUAUGAUUCUCCUCGUUCAUAUCAAUGCUACGGUACUGAUAAACGCCAUAAAACGGAUAACAAACCAGAUCGUCUCAGCGCCUUACCAGACCCUCUCAUCCUUCACAUCCUCUCAUCUUGCCAGAUGAAAGAUGUUAUACAAACUGGAGUUUUGUCUAAAAGGUGGCGCCUUUUGUGGACUUCAGCACACAACUUAUCUUUCACCCACUCUCCUGAAUCAAAUCGCGAAGUAACUGAAUUUAUAAAAUCCAUUGAUGAUACAUUGAUUCUCUCCUAAGCCUAGUAAAUAGAAUGAAUUUUCGGUUGAGUCUCUUUAGCAACCGAUUUGUUGACCAUGUUAACAGAUGGAUGAUUUUUGUGAUGAUUAAGUCUGUUGAGGUAGUGGAUUUGAAUCUGAUGAGGACACGAGGUUUCGAAGAGGGUUAUAGCUUACCACAACUUAUGUAUUCCAACGUGUGUUUACGUAAACUGAAGUUGUACAAUUGUAAUCUUGUACCAAAGGAGGGGAUUAAUUGGCCUGCUCUUAGGGUUUUAGCUCUUUGGUUUGUUAAAUUGAGCUUAGAAGUCGUUGAUGCGAUCUGUUCUGGAUGUCCUGGUUUGGAAUCUCUCAAGUUUUGUAUGUGUUUCGGCGUUUCCUGGUUUUUAUAUUAAUUCUGAAAGUGUGAAGAAGUUGGUUAUCGGGGGAUACUUGCAACAAGAACAUGAAGAUAGCGACGACGAUGACGAUGAUGAUAAAGAGCUGACAAUAAUGUUACUUCGCUGGAGAUUAGUGGAUGUCUUCACAACAAAAAUCCAGUUCUCCAGAAUGUGCAAGCUCUAGUCGAUGCUAAGCUAUAUUUUGGGUAGGGAAGACGAUGAAAGUGACUUUAGGACAGAAUAGUCUCUGAAGACAAAAAUACAGCUAAGAAGAUAAAAACAUCGAUCUGAAACGCAUUAUCAUUAGCAUUCAGAAAGUUUGAAGGUUUUAAUGAAAGUUUUUAGGUGGAAAAGAUGGCUGAAAAGCGGGUCACGAUGAAAAUAGGUGAGUUGGGCUGGAUAUACAUGUUGGGUUGUGGAGAAGAAUUAUAUUGGAGUAAAUAAUUAGAAUAAAAUAUAUUCAUGUACACGUUAUUUAAGAUUAUAGUUUUUUGGCACAUGCAUUGCACGUGUAUGCCAAGUCAUGUAAUAUAUAGUUCUAUAAAAUAAUUUUAACAAUUGGGUUUGCAAGUCAGAUUUUGUAUUAUUUUGUAUCUAUUUUAUCUUAACGAAGAGAGCAAAGUUAGUAUAAUUGAUUUGUCUUUUUCAUUUACCACGUUUUGUUCACCAAGUUAUUUUGCAACCAAACAAUAGAAAAAUCUUUGAUUAAAACUUAUAUGCAUCAAACUAUUCUAGUGUUUGUACACAUUCAAUUAGUACAAUAGAGUACUCGUUAAAUUUACCCAUAACAUCCAAAACAACUCAAAUCACACCAAGGAAAAGACCCCACAGAAAAGAUCAAUUUUAAAUUCAAUACUAACAAUGGUACAUUAUUUUUAAAAAAAAAAAAAAAAAAGAGAGAUAUGAAGCACCAUGUCAAUAUAUAUUCCAACCAAUGGUACAUUUUUUUAUUUUUUAUUCCAACCAAUGCUCUAGUACAUUGCUUGAAUUUUCAGAAUGCAUCUGUAACACCUCAAUAUAUAUUGAACAACUGAACUUACUGAAAGGUUCCAUUAUAGCAAGAAGUUUGCACCAAAUAAAUAAGAAAAGAGCAACUGCAUUCGAAAGCCAGGACGCUUCUACCCAUGCAUUCAUAACAACUCAGACCACACUUGGAUAAAAAAAAACCAUAGGAGAGAGUACCUGGGUGAGAAGCCCAGCAGGAGACAAUAACCGUAAAAUUAAUAGUAGAAUUGGUAGAUAAAGCAGUAUGUCCAAACCAAUGCCCCAAGACAUUGCUUAAUUUCCAGAAAACAUGACUUUCCCAAAUCAGAGAACAUAUUAACUAAAUGUACCUGACAGACCCCAAAAACGAAAUUCAAAUGCGAUCAAACCGCGCCAAAUUUCAUAACUUGACCAAUCAUAUCUGUAACUAUCAAGCAGAACAGAAAUAAUCACAAAUCUCCUCCAUGACAAACCACAAAAAGAACUCUAGAUGUGAUCAAGCAGGCUAAAUUCCAUACUUUCACUAACCAUAUCUACAAUUAUUAAGCAGAAGAGAAAUAAUCACACGACUAAACCUCUCACCAGAGAAAACAUUAAUAACUUAUUCAACACCUGCACUCAUGCUAGAGUACCCGAACAAUUCCUCUAAACCAAUUGAUCCAAUUGCAAAUGGGUAACCUAUAUCCCACCAUGAUGAGGAAAAAUUACAUCACAACCCACAAGAAGGAAGACAUAAUAAACAAGACAUGGAAGGAAAAGAAAAAUGUUAAGCUCAGAACCACAGCCAGGUCAAUGAAAGACAACAGGAAUUGUCCCUGUAAGUACUCCCCACUGCCAUCUUUAAAUGAUAUCCGACGCUAGACCACGAGACGAAACUUUUAAAUUGUUCCUUUUAAAAAUCAACAAUUGUAAGUGGAUCAAUUGAUCAAAUUCUGUAUACCUACUGUGAAAUUUUCGCUUAUUAUAAGUGGCAGUCCAGAAUGUUUCUUUCAAUUACAUAGUGGUUGAGGCAAGGUGAUCCCACGUCACCUUUCCUAUUUAUCUUAGCAAUGGAGGUCCAUGAUCAGAAAAGCAAGUGAGAAUAGAUGGAUAAAUGGUUUUCCUGCAAAUGUCAGUAGUGGAAAUAAUAUGCAGAUGAUUCCUCGGUAUUUUGUGAAGCUGAAAUAAGUCAAUAAUUCAGAUCGGACACUCAUCUAUUUUUUAGGGAAUUUCAAGACUCCAUGUCAAUUGGCAUAACAGUAGUUUAUACCCAGUCAACCAAAUUACCAAUAUGGAGAUAGUUGAUGUCAAUUUAGGGUGCCAAGUAGCAUCCCUUCCAACUAAACAUCUUGUUAUGCCUCUUGGUGCUAAGAAUAAAGAAGUGGAAGUAUGGAAUGAAGUGAUGGAAAGAAGUGAGAGAAAGCUGACAAGAUGGAAAAGCCAAUAGCUGUCUUUAGGAGGCAGAUUAACACUCAUUAAAUCAGUAAUGGAUGAUCUCCCCACUUACAUGAUGAGUCUUUUCCCAAUUCCAAGAAGCAUAGAGAAGAAAAUCAACAACUUAGGAGAGUCUUCUUAUGGUAGGGAGAUAAAGAGAAGCUUGGGUACAAAUUAGUAAAAUGGGAUGAGGUGACUCUCAACAAAGCCCAGGAUGGUAUUGGGGUAAAGACGCUGAGCAUGCAGAAUGUGAGUUUGUUGAAGAAGUAGCUUUAGAGGUUCUAUAAUGACGACUUGUUUUUAUGGAGAGGAUUCAUCUCCCAGAAGUAUGUCUCCAAAAUAAUUGGUGCACUGAUAAAGAAGCUGGAACUUUUGGGUGCUCUGUUUGAAAGACUAUCAGAAGACUAAGGCCUCCUUUUAAUUCCAAUUUGUCAUUCAAGAUUGAGAUGGGGUAAAAACUAGUUUCUGGAAUGUAAACUGGAUAGGAGACAGGAACCUGAAAACUUUAUUCCCAGAUCUAUACAUUCUAGCUUGCAAUAGAUGCUGGCAAAGAUGUGGAGCCCUCAAGGUUGAAGCCUGAAUUUUAGGAGGGCUCUAAAUGACUGGGAGAUUAGUAGAGUUGCAGGGCUCUUGCAGGUGUUGAAUAUAUUCCCAGGUGUCUCAGAGGAACCAGAUUGUCCAAUAUGUAAGUUGCACAACUAAGGAAUUUCGACUGUGAAAUCGUGUUACUGGAAUAUGAACUAUAACCAAAUAAUGGGAAUGGAGUGGCCAUGGAAACUAAUCUGAAAGAUCAAAGGCCCUCAUAAGGUGUCAUGCUUCACAUGGUUGGUGAUCAGAAAAGCAUGUUUAACCCAUGAAGUGUUACACAGGAGAGGUACAUAAAUUUGCUCAAGGUGUAGUAUGUGUGAAAAAGAGGCAGAGAUUAACAACCACUUAUUCCUACAUUGCAAAACAGUUAUAAAUCGAUGGGAUAUGUUCUUAUAUGUAUUCUUGGGUUUAACUGGGUAGUGCCCAAAACUACUUCAGACAUGCUCAAACAAUGGGAAGGACGAGGUAGAAGAAGAAAAUCAAAAGAGGACCGGUGGAAAUGUAUUCCAGCAUGCAUUGAGUGGUCACUUUGAAUGGAAAGGAAUGAAAGAUCCCAUGAUGAGCAAGCUAGAAGCAUUCAGAAGAUCAAGAUGUAAAGUCUGAGUUUGUUGUAUUUUUGGUAUAAACAAAAUAUGGUGGGGGAAGUAGAAAGUCUAGUUAACUUCAUAGGCAAAUUGUAAAGUUCUUUUUUUGGGGAUUGAUUCUGCAUGAUACCCCCUGGGGUUGAAAAUCCCAUCUCAUCAGUCUUUUACCUAAUGAAUUUUUUGAUAGGAAUACAAAAGUUACCCGUUAUAACGCCCCCGCAAACUGGUGGUGUCAACAACACCCAACUUGGGAAAAUAGUGAUGAUUGGGCGUCGCAGCAGAGUUAGAGGCAACAAGGAAAGGUUGUGUGGCCAUGAGAGGUGGGGCAAGUGAUGCGGAAGAGGGUUGUACCAUAGGGUUCUAGCACAAAGGUCCAGUGGGCUUAUUUCGGUGCUAGUAAGUGAUUAUUGUGGAUUGUGGUUAAGCGUUUAAAAGGGGAGAUGGAUGAACUGAUGAGGCUGAACCAUUCGGUUGAAGUGAACUGUGGCAGGAAACUAAAUUUUGGAUGGUGAAGGGAAGGGGCAGGGAUGAUGUUGGAGAAAGAGAAGAAGUAUCAGACGAGGAAGAAACUGAAUUACCUAACCCAGUAGUACCUGUUGAGGCAGAGGAGACGAGUGAAUGCAGGCGUGUCCACAGGCUGCUGCACAAUCUGAGUAGGAAACUCAUAAGAAUCAUUUGAACUUUGAGUAUUAACCCGUGGUUGUUCAGUUGAAAAAAUUUCCCAAGAUACAUUUUUAUUUUGUGUAUUUUUCAACAACAUACCAGUAAGUCCCACCUAGUGGGGUCUGAGAGGUAGAAUGUACGCAGUCAAUACCACUACCUCCGAAGAAGUAGAGAGGUUGUUUCCGAUAGACCCGGCUAAAGACACAGAGACGGUAUAUAAGGUCGUAAUAAACCAUGAAACAAGAUGAAAUAACAGAAAAAGGCACCCACAAAGUAAUAUGAUACACUAACACCCCGCAAGUACCCACCUCCCCCAACCCACCUAACUAGAGACUCCCUCUUAUGUGCAAAGGCUUACAACUACUAGCUGGCUACCCCAAACCGAACCUAACUACUGGCUACAACUCACCCACACACACUAACCUACUAACCUGAUUCGAGUUCUCCAUACUUUCCUAUCUAGAGCCAUGUCCUCAGUAAGCUGUAACUGCUUCAUGUCCUGUCUAAUCACCUCUCUCCGAUAUUUCUUCAGCUUACCUCUACCAAUCCAAAGUUAACCUCUCGCACCUCCGAACCGAGGCAUCCGUUCCCCUCCUCAUCACAUGCCCAAACCAUCUCAACCCCACUUCCCGCAUCUUGUUCUCUACCGAGGCCACUCCCACCUUCGCCCGAUUAAUCCCAUUCUUAACCCUGUCUUCCCUAAUAAGCUCACACAUCCAAAGCAAUAUUCUCAUUUCCGCCACUUUCAACUUUUGAAUGUGAGAGUUCUUAACUGGCCAACACUCUGCUCCAUACAACAUGACCGGACGGACUGCCACUCUAUAAAUUUGCUUUUAAGCUUGGGAGGCACUUUCUUAUCACACAAAACUCCUGAGGCUAGCCUCUAUUUCAUCCUCCCUACCCCAAUACGAUGCGUGACAUUCUCAUCAAUCUUUUCAUUUCCCUGAAUCAUAGACCCAAGAUACUUAAAACUAUACUUCAUACAAACAACCUACGAAUCCAACUUCACUACCACCUCGUCCUCCCUUGUCACGUCGCUGAACUUACAUUCCAAGUACUCCGUCUUGGUCCUGCGCAAUCUGACCCUUUUGACUCCAAGGUUUGUCUCCAAACCUCCAAUUUAUCAUUAACACCUCCUCGUCUCACUAAUCAAAACUAUACCAUCCGCAAAUAGCGUACACCACGGCACCUACGCCACCGGCACCCUCUAGCAUCUAAGCAUCUCCAAAGUACCUCCCUAGGGACUUUGUCGUAUGCCUUCUCCAGGUCGAUGAACACCAUAUAUAAGUCCCUCUUUCCUCCCCAUACAUCUCCACUUGUCUCCACACAAGGUGAAUUGCCUCAAUCGUCGAGCGACCGGGCAUAAAUUUGUACUGAUACUCCGAAAAAGACAUGCUCCUCCUCAACCUCCGCUCAACCACUCUCUCCCAAAUCUUCGUAGUGUGACUCAACAACUCAAUGCCCAUGUAGUUGUUGCAACUCUGAAUGUCACCCUUGUUCUUGUAUAAAGGGAUCAUCGUACUCCAUCUCCAAGCCUCGAACAUCUUCACAGUCCUGAAAAUGCCAUUAAACAAUUAGGUCAACCACCUCAAACCUGCCCCGUCUGAAUAUAUCCAAAAAUCCACCAAGAUCUCAUCAGGCCCCACGCCCUACCCUUACGCAUCCUCCGAGUAGCCUCAAAGACCUCAUCCACCCUUAUACAUCUAUAAUAACCAAAAUCAUGACACCCCUCAGAGUUUUCAAACUCCUCUAACACAAUGUCUUUGUCCCCAUCAUCAUUAAAGAGCCUAUGGAAAUACAAUUGCCAUUUUCUCUUAAUGUGAACGUCCUCCACCAGUACUUCGCCAUCUUCCCCAUAAUGCACUUCACUUGGUCAAGGACACGAGCCUUCCGCUCCCUAGCCUUAGCAAACCUAUACAACCUUUUCUUCCCGUCUCUCUCCUCUAAACCCGCAUACAAGUUCUCAAAAGUUGUUGUCUUAGCUGUCGUAACCGCUAACUUAGCUUCCUUCCUAGCUAACCUGUAUUCCUCCCUGUUCGUCCGUUUCUCCUCUUCAUCCUUACUCUCAGUCAACUUAGCAUACGUCACCUUCUUAGCCUCCACCUUCUUUUUAACCUUUUCGUUCCACCACCAGUCCCCUCGAUGAUGGCCAGGUCGUCCCCUCAAGACACCCAACGUCUCUCUAGCUAUCUCCUUAGUAAAACUGGCAGCCCUAUCCCACAUACUAUCAAUGUCUCCCCUACACUCCCGCACCCCCAUCGCUGCCAACCUCUCCCCCAUCUCCAAAGUACUAGCUGGAGUCAAGCCACCCACCUAAUUCUUGGUCGACCAUCUCCACCUCUCCUCUUCUUGCCCUUCUUGAUAUCCACGUCCAUCACCAGAAACCUAUGCUAGGUCGCAAGAUUCUCACCAGGAAUGACCUUACAAUCCUUACACAAUGCUCUAUCCCCCUUCUUAAGCAGCAAAAAGUCAAUCUGAGUCUUGGUUGUGGUCCUCCUUCUUCGAGAAAUUCAACUUCACUACCACCAAUCCAAAGGUCCUCGCAAAAUCCAAAAGAGCAACCCCUUCUUCAUUCCUAUCCCCGAAACCAAAGCCUCCAUGCACAUCGUCAUAACCUCUCGGCAAUGACACGAUGUGCCCAUUGAAAUCCCCUGCUACGAAAAUCUUCUCAGAGCUAGGAAUGCCACUCACCACCUCGUCCAAAACCUCCCAAAAUCUCUUCUUCUCCUCGUCCAAGCCUACCUAAGGCGCAUAAGCCCUACAAACGUUCAGAGUAAACCCUUCAAUGACCAACUUAAUAGUCAGAAACCUAUCACUAACCCUCUAAACCUCCACUACCUGCCCCCUAAGCUCUUCGUGUACUAAGAUACCUACUCCAUUCCGACGUCUCUCACUACCUGAGUACUACAACUUGUACCCGUCCACAUCCCUAGCCUUAGAGCCUACCCACUUGGUCUCUUGGACACACGCGAUAUUAAUUCUCCUCUUCUUAAGAAUCUUUGCGAACUCUAUGGACUUACCCUAAAGGAUCCAUAUAUUCCAGGACCCAAACCCCAACCUAUCAACUCUCGUAUCAUGCUUACCCCGCACCCCAUACCCCACAACUAACCCAACACCAGACCCCGACCCUAACCCCAGCCUCCCAGGACAUGACCCUCGCCUACCAUCCACCACGAAAGCCACCACUCCAACAAAAGCAAAAAAUAACUCAAAAAACAGGCCAAAUACCAAGAACAACAAACAAGAGACACCAAUACAAGGAAGUAGAUAGACCACAACAAAUUAAAAGUCAAGAUAAAAGCGGAAAAAACAUUUUCGAAUGGGAACUGAUUUCCCAAAAAUAAGACGUCGCGAGAUAAAUAUAUUUGGGAGUUCAAGGAUCAAAACAUUGAUGGCAGUACUGUUUAUUCAAAAAUUCUAAAUAAACACAUAGUAUAGAAUGGGGCUCUACUUCUUUUUUUGGCAUAUAACUUGAGCCAUAACACAAACAACCAAAUACUUUAAUGGAGUCAUACUUAGGGAUAGUUUGAAACAAAAUUUGAAAGGGGCUCUUAUGCUGAAGAUUAGGUGUAGUUAGCCUGUUUGUAAGAGAAACAACUUGUUGACAGGCAAAACUCCAAAAAUGUAAGGGUAAAGGCGCUUGGUGCAGCAAGGUUUUAGCAGUUUCAAUAACAUGCAGGUGUCGUCUUUUGACUAGAGCAACUCGAUGUGGAAUACAAGGGGGUGACACUAAGUGUUCUGUGUCAUGUGUUUUAAGAUAGGACAGUAAACUUUGAAAUUCGCCACCACCAUCAGUGUAAAAGAAUUGAAUUUUCGUGUUGAACCUUCGUUCAAGCAAUGGAUGCAAAGCUUGAUAAACUUCCAGUAUUUCAUUUUUUUUAUUUUAAAGUGAACAACCACAUGUAUUUUGAGAAUUGAGCAACAAAUAAAACAUAAUAUCUUUUUUUUUAUCAAUUGACAAAAUCAAAGAUUAACCCAUAAAUCGUUAUAAAGGAUUUACACGGGCUUAUUACUUUGCAAUGAAUUUUCUGAGAAAGUCAACCUUGUGUUUUAUUUGAAUAACAAGAACUACAAAUGGAACAAGCUUUAGGAUCUACAAUAGGAAGGGAAAAAUUACUCAAGAUAGUAUUUAAAACAUUGCAUUGAAGAGAACGAUGUGCACAACCCGGUGGCCACUCAUAUAACUCACCAUAUAACUCAUCUUUAUCCUGCCCACGAACUAGAGACGCCCCCAUACUCAGAUCUUUCAAAAUAUAAUGGGAAGAGAAAAGGUCAAUUCAGGAAAUGAUUAUCAAUGCAAUACUUAGAAACAAAAAUAAUUUUUUAUGAUAGGGGAACAUAAGGUAUUGAGAAGUUUGAAAUGAUAAUUUGAUGCAUUUAUGUUAGCGUUACUGGUAUGAGAUAUUGGAAUGGUGUUACCAUUGCCCAUAGUUAUCCCUUCAGUGCCGUGAUAGUCAUGUAUAGUGGCUAGACUUUGAGCAUCAGAUGUAGUAUGAUGAGUGGCUCCACCAUCCAUGAUCGAAGGGGUUUAUUGAGGAGAAAAACAAGCAGCAAAGUUUGCCUGGACUUGCAGAAGGUCAUGUGACUACGAUCUGCAAACGGUAGACGAAUGACUAAUGUGAUCUAGGGGUGUGCAAAAACCGAACCGAUCGAUAAACCAAACCGAUAAAAAUAUUAUUGGGCUAUAAAAAAAUUAUUGGAUUAUUGUUCGGUUCGAUUUUUUCUUAUUGGGCUAUUGGGUAAAUCGAUAACCAAUAAGACUAUACAUACAUACAUACACGCACACACACAUAUAUAUGACUUAUUAUAUAUUUCUCUUAAUUUCUCUUUAAUUUCUACAAAUCAACAAACUUAUUAUUUCAAUUAUACAAACUCUUAAUUUCUCCUAACAACACUUAGUUCAAACUUGAAGAUUCUUGUAAAUUAAAACACAUCAUGUAGGAUUUUUAAUUGCAACUAAUAAUCGAUUUUUUUCAAUGUUAGUUACGACUAUUUCUAUUUUAUCAGUAUUUUCUUAUUGGUUAAAUCGAAAAUCGAACCGUUAAAGACUGAAAAACCGAUAAAAAAUAUCUUAUUGGUUUAGCAUAUUUAAAAAUCAAAAAUCGAUAAACCGAACCGAUAAUAUGUAGAAUCGAACCGACCGAUACACACCCUUAAUGUGAUCACAAAGUUGGCAGCGAAGGUGUUUGUCAGAGGGCUGCUGGUGGUUGUUUCUACGUGGGUGUUAAGCUCACCAUUGUUGAUUGUUGGCAGGAGUGUUCUCACCUGGACGAUUGCUAGAGUAAGAAGGAGUUGAGCUUGUCUUUUGUGCUAAAGCAGCCGUAAUAGGAGUUGAUAGAGGCUUCUUGGCUUCCUUAUGUUGUAAGAAAAGCUCAUAAUCUAGAAGCUUUUCGUAAAGCUCUUCACAGGAUAUAGGAGAAUCCCGUGCACGAAUGGCAGCAGAGAGUUCUCGAAAUUCAGAUCCAAGUGCAUGAGAAUUUUAACAGUGAGUUCUGGUUUUGAUACCAGUGCACCAAUAGUUGCAAGUUCAUCACAAAGUGAACGAACUUGAUGAAGGUAAUACGUGACUUGACGAGAGUCUUUAGUAAGGCGUGCCAAUCAGUCUAACAGGCUAAAAUUCCUGUUUCAGAUUUGUUUACAUAUGCAAUAUGCAAAGCAUCCCAGGCAAGUUUGGCGGGGACUGCAAUAGCAAAAUUGGCGUAAGUGUAGGAUAAUCGGAAGCUAAGAUAGCAUUUUGAAUUAACUGAUCUUGGUUAUACCAAGGAAGAAACUCAGGAUUAUCAGCAUCUUGAUUGUUUUGAGAGAUGGUGCGAAUAGGAGCAGGGAUGGAGCCAUCGAGAUGCCCAUAAAGAUUGUGACCAUGAAUAAGCAUUGAAACUUGAGCUUUCCACAGCGAGAAAUUGUGACUGCCGGUUAAUUUUAUGGGCAGUUGGGUAACAGGAUUAAACUGCACAACAGUAUCGGCGUUAUCGACUCCAUCGGCAUUGGCCACAGAAGUAUUAGGGGCCAUUUGGACGAGUAAGAAGGAAAAAAAAAGGAUCAACUCAUGGGAGUACUUAGAAGUGCUCCGAUACCAUAAAGAGGCAAAAUCAGAAGAUGGGAAAAUAGUUAUCGUCUUUAUUGAUUGUAUGGCAGGUAUAUAAAGAAUUUGCACAAGAUCUAUAUCAGCCAUGAUAGACUUGGAAAAGGAUAAUGACUAUCCAAUAGAGCCUAAAUAAGAGGAGAAGGUCCAAACAAAUUCCUCAGAAUUAGGACUACAAAAAUAGAACUCUACAGCAGUAAGGUGUCUUGCAUCAACCGUACCGAGUAGGCGCGACAACUUUGUACCUGGAAUCAAAGAAUAUAAGCAUCUUGACAAAAUAACAGCAGCUCAUACUCUUGUGGCAUCAAAAGCAAAAAAGUAAACCAUCUUAACAUAUAAGUUCCAGCGACUGCAAGCAGAGAAAGCAAGGCUUAGUAAUGACUGCAAGAGGAAUUCUAUCUAACCACAAGAAAAUUGAUCAGAUUCAGACAUGAAAAGCAAGACAGAGAGGAGGAGGAGAAGGAGGGGGGGGGAAGAGAUAACUAUUCUAUUCUAGAAGCAGACAGAAGAAAGCACCAAAAUACAUCUUGCAAGAAGUAUGAUUCAAUACCUGAAAUUGUUUAUUUUGCAUUUUGCUUAGAUAGUUGACCGAAUAGAAUGUUCAAAGCUGUCUCACUGGAGCGUGCAGCUUGCGUAGCUGUGGUGGCAUAGGGCUGCAUGAUACAGUGGCACGAAAAGCAAUUCUCACCGAGUAAUGGCAUAGGGCUGCAUACUACAGUGGCAGAAAUGCAUCUUCAUUUCUGAACUUUUUCUCCAAUUAUGUGCCGAAAUCUAUAAGGAACUGGUCAAACAAUCAUGGGAAACCGACAAACUGAAUUACCAAACUUUUGAAGACCUAAAUUACAGUGGCACCAAAAGCAAUUCUCACCGUCAUUCAAGUUUCUCUAAGCACAUAAAUAGUAACUGAAUAUGCCAUGAAACCACGGAUGCAUCUCUUCAUGCUCAUUUCAUGCAUGAAGUACCAUUUGUACAAAUAAGUUAAUUUUACAUAUUACUCGUGUGAUCUAUUUUUCAGAUCUAAAAAGAUCCUCAAGCCAAACUUUUUAGGGUGGGCUAUAUGAAUUCUCUGUAUUAAUUAUUUUCUACGAAACCAAAGUAAAAUUCGACAGCACGCAGACAGAAGAGAUAACUAUUCUAUUCUAGAAGCAAACAGAAGGGAGCACCAAAAUACAUCUUGCAAGAAGUAUGAUUCAAUACCUGAAAUUGUUUAUUUUGCAUUUUGCUUAGAUAGUGGACCGAAUAGAAUGUUCAAAGCUGUCUCACUGGAGUGUGCAGCUUGCGUAGCUGUAGUGGCAUAGGGCUGCAUGAUACAGUGGCAUGAAAAGCAAUUCUCACCGAGUAAUGGCAUAGGGCUGCAUACUACAGUGGCAGAAAUGCAUCUUCAUUUCUGAACUUUUUCUCCAAUUAUGUGACGAAAUCUAUAGAGAACUGGUCAAACAAUCAUGGGAAACCGACAAACUGCAUUACCAAACUUUUGAAGACCUAAAUUACAGUGGCACCAAAAGCAAUUCUCACCGUCAUUCAAGUUUCUCUAAGCACAUAAAUAGUAACUGAAUAUGCCAUGAAACCACAGAUGCAUCUCUUCAUGCUCAUUUCAUGCAUGAAGUACCAUUUGUACAAAUAAGUUAAUUUUACAUAUUACUCAUGUAAUCUAUUUUUCAGAUCUAAAAAGAUCCUCAAGCCAAACUUUUUAGGGUGGGCUAUGUGAAUUCUCUAUAUUAAUUAUUUUCUACGAAACUAAAGUAAAAUUUGACAGCUUCAAGAGACAUCUUAAAUCUUCAUUCUUAAACCAUUCUAAUCCAAUAAGUAAAAGGUGCCAAUUAUAAUUCUGAAAAUUUACUUCCUUUUAUAGAAGUUACAAAUUUGAGAUAGACACUUCAAACGGAACUUUUUUCUUCUUUGAAAAAACAUUCACCACAAAAUCUAGAACAGAACCUUACAAUCAAAGCUUCAAAAAACGAAAAUAUCAAUCAAUAAAUAGAGUUUAAAGAUGUAUUAUGAAAAGUAACUAUAUAAAGAUUUUAAAGCCUUGAUUCAACAUAGCAGAAGUGAAUUAAGCAAGAUAAUGAAAUAACUCUAACUAAAAAGUGAUCUAGCAACACAAAUUAAAAAUAAAAAGGAAAGGGUUAUAUAUAUAUAACAUGUACAUAUAAACCAAUGCAGAAAUCAUCUUCUUCAAUAGAACAAAUGCAGAAAACAGUUUCAGCAAUCCGAAUGAAGCCAUGCAUGAAAACAAAGCAGAAGCAUUUGAUUAAAAAUAGUUUACCUGCAAAAGGAAGCAAUGGUGAACAGCAUAGAGAGAGUUGCUGCUGAAUUUCCACCCAAAACAAUUUCCACUUCUAGCUAUAUAGAGUAUUGAUCAAUUCAGAAUUUCGACAACCCUAGAGGAAUCUGCAAUUUUGGCAGGUAAAACAGUUCAUUAAAAAAAGAGAAAAAAUAGGAGAAAAGGCUUUCUUUUCCUGAAUGAAAAGUAAUCUUUUCAGGUUUGGCCCGGCCCUAUUUAUUUUGACCUUUUAUAGCUGCGGGGAGAGGGGAAGUAUGGGUUAAACCUUUACCAUGAUUAAUUUUAAACCAUAAUUCAACUUUCCAACUUUUUAUUAUUUGGAGAAGAUAAAUUUUAAAAAAGAUAUUUUGGAGUUUAUAAAUUAAUUGUUUGUUCCUUGCUAAUUGAAUUCCUGACUAUAUUAUAAUUCCUCAAAUAGAUAGGAAUUCACAUUUUGACUUCAUCGUAAUAUCUAAGAUCUAUUUCAAAUUUAGUUAACUUUGCCUUUCUUACUACUCCCUACGUCUUCUUUUCGUAUCAGAUUCUGGAGAUUCUCUUUCAUUGCUUCAUCAUCAUUAGUACUGAGAUUAAUGAGUUGAUAGAGAUGAAGAUGAAGAAAUAGUGUACUGUCCUCCUUUUGAGCUUUCGGAAUGUUGUUAGCUUUCCUUUUUUGUUUUCUUUUUGCUUUUUGUUAUUUUUACCUGUUUCCAGGUUGGGUUUGGGGCCUUGACCUGGUUUUGGGUUCAGUUUGUACGUCUUUCUUUUUGGUUAAUAAAAAGGCCCAUGGGGCCCUAUGCCUUUAAUUUAAAAAAAAAAAAAAUACUCCCUACGUUUCAAUUUGAUUGCCUUACUUUCCUUUUUAUUCCGUUUAAAAAGAAUAUCUUUCCUUUUUUGGAAAUCUUUAGCUUGAACAAUUUAAGACCACAAGAUUCGUUUGAACAAUUUAAAACCACAAGAUUCGAAAGUGUUUUACUUUCCUAAACUCCGUGUCUAGUCAAAAUUAGACUAACAAAAUAAAGCAGAGGGAGUAAGAGAAAGCAAGUAAAUAAGGCAAAAAAAUUUAUUUAUGAAGUGUUUCCUUUUUACACCUUUUUCAAGAAUGAAGUUCUUGGUUUUCAUUUACCUUAACUUUUUCAGCCACAAACUGACAAUAUAGUUGGCACUAAGUUCAUGAUUAAGAAUCUGGUUUAAAGUUUUAAUGACUGAGAUAUAUCAGUUGUAAACUAUCUCUUACAACUUAAUUGUCUUUAUCUGAACCUUUCCAGUUGUGUGACCGAAAAAAUAGUCUUUGGGGAAACCUCCUAUAUCUUCACAUUCCUUGCUAUUUUUCUUCGGUCUUUUAAAUCAACAUCCUGAGAAAAGAGUUUUGAAUUUCUGACUACAAUUAAACUUCCUUGAAUAGAUAGGAAUUCAUAUUGACUUCAUAAUAUCUAAAAUCUAUUUCAGAUUUAGUUAACUUUGACUUUAGGACUAAAAGAACACAAGUAAAUAAGGAAAAAAAUUUAGCGUUGAAGAUUUUGAUUCAUGGUCUUUCGGUGAAGGUGCAAAUACUAAUUAUACUUCCUUGAAUAGAUAGCAAUUCAUAUGUGACUUGCAGCAUAAUAUCUAAAAUUUAUUUCAGAUUUAGAUAACUUUGAUUUUCUUACUAAACGAACGCAAGUAUGGAAAAAAAUUUAGUGUUGAAGAUUUUGAUUCUUUAUUUUUCGGUGAGGAUGCAAAUAUUAAUAUUCAGAUCACCAUCUACUANNNNNNNNNNNNNNNNNNNNNNNNNNNNNNNNNNNNNNNNNNNNNNNNNNNNNNNNNNNNNNNNNNNNNNNNNNNNNNNNNNNNNNNNNNNNNNNNNNNNNNNNNNNNNNNNNNNNNNNNNNNNNNNNNNNNNNNNNNNNNNNNNNNNNNNNNNNNNNNNNNNNNNNNNNNNNNNNNNNNNNNNNNNNNNNNNNNNNNNNNNNNNNNNNNNNNNNNNNNNNNNNNNNNNNNNNNNNNNNNNNNNNNNNNNNNNNNNNNNNNNNNNNNNNNNNNNNNNNNNNNNNNNNNNNNNNNNNNNNNNNNNNNNNNNNNNNNNNNNNNNNNNNNNNNNNNNNNNNNNNNNNNNNNNNNNNNNNNNNNNNNNNNNNNNNNNNNNNNNNNNNNNNNNNNNNNNNNNNNNNNNNNNNNNNNNNNNNNNNNNNNNNNNNNNNNNNNNNNNNNNNNNNNNNNNNNNNNNNNNNNNNNNNNNNNNNNNNNNNNNNNNNNNNNNNNNNNNNNNNNNNNNNNNNNNNNNNNNNNNNNNNNNNNNNNNNNNNNNNNNNNNNNNNNNNNNNNNNNNNNNNNNNNNNNNNNNNNNNNNNNNNNNNNNNNNNNNNNNNNNNNNNNNNNNNNNNNNNNNNNNNNNNNNNNNNNNNNNNNNNNNNNNNNNNNNNNNNNNNNNNNNNNNNNNNNNNNNNNNNNNNNNNNNNNNNNNNNNNNNNNNNNNNNNNNNNNNNNNNNNNNNNNNNNNNNNNNNNNNNNNNNNNNNNNNNNNNNNNNNNNNNNNNNNNNNNNNNNNNNNNNNNNNNNNNNNNNNNNNNGAACUGGUCAAACAAUCAUGGGAAACCGACAAACUGCAUUACCAAACUUUUGAAGACCUAAAUUACAGUGGCACCAAAAGCAAUUCUCACCGUCAUUCAAGUUUCUCUAAGCACAUAAAUAGUAACUGAAUAUGCCAUGAAACCACAGAUGCAUCUCUUCAUGCUCAUUUCAUGCAUGAAGUACAAUUUGUACAAAUAAGUUAAUUUUACAUAUUACUCGUGUGAUCUAUUUUUCAGAUCUAAAAAGAUCCUCAAGCCAAACUUUUUAGGGUGGGCUAUAUGAAUUCUCUGUAUUAAUUAUUUUCUACGAAACCAAAGUAAAAUUCGACAGCACGCAGACAGAAGAGAUAACUAUUCUAUUCUAGAAGCAAACAGAAGGGAGCACCAAAAUACAUCUUGCAAGAAGUAUGAUUCAAUACCUGAAAUUGUUUAUUUUGCAUUUUGCUUAGAUAGUUGACCGAAUAGAAUGUUCAAAGCUGUCUCACUGGAGCGUGCAGCUUGCGUAGCUGUGGUGGCAUAGGGCUGCAUGAUACAGUGGCACGAAAAGCAAUUCUCACCGAGUAAUGGCAUAGGGCUGCAUACUACAGUGGCAGAAAUGCAUCUUCAUUUCUGAACUUUUUCUCCAAUUAUGUGCCGAAAUCUAUAAGGAACUGGUCAAACAAUCAUGGGAAACCGACAAACUGAAUUACCAAACUUUUGAAGACCUAAAUUACAGUGGCACCAAAAGCAAUUCUCACCGUCAUUCAAGUUUCUCUAAGCACAUAAAUAGUAACUGAAUAUGCCAUGAAACCACAGAUGCAUCUCUUCAUGCUCAUUUCAUGCAUGAAGUACCAUUUGUACAAAUAAGUUAAUUUUACAUAUUACUCGUGUGAUCUAUUUUUCAGAUCUAAAAAGAUCCUCAAGCCAAACUUUUUAGGGUGGGCUAUGUGAAUUCUCUAUAUUAAUUAUUUUCUACGAAACUAAAGUAAAAUUUGACAGCUUCAAGAGACAUCUUAAAUCUUCAUUCUUAAACCAUUCUAAUCCAAUAAGUAAAAGGUGCCAAUUAUAAUUCUGAAAAUUUACUUCCUUUUAUAGAAGUUACAAAUUUGAGAUAGACACUUCAAACGGAACUUUUUUCUUCUUUGAAAAAACAUUCACCACAAAAUCUAGAACAGAACCUUACAAUCAAAGCUUCAAAAAACGAAAAUAUCAAUCAAUAAAUAGAGUUUAAAGAUGUAUUAUGAAAAGUAACUAUAUAAAGAUUUUAAAGCCUUGAUUCAACAUAGCAGAAGUGAAUUAAGCAAGAUAAUGAAAUAACUCUAACUAAAAAGUGAUCUAGCAACACAAAUUAAAAAUAAAAAGGAAAGGGUUAUAUAUAUAUAACAUGUACAUAUAAACCAAUGCAGAAAUCAUCUUCUUCAAUAGAACAAAUGCAGAAAACAGUUUCAGCAAUCCGAAUGAAGCCAUGCAUGAAAACAAAGCAGAAGCAUUUGAUUAAAAAUAGUUUACCUGCAAAAGGAAGCAAUGGUGAACAGCAUAGAGAGAGUUGCUGCUGAAUUUCCACCCAAAACAAUUUCCACUUCUAGCUAUAUAGAGUAUUGAUCAAUUCAGAAUUUCGACAACCCUAGAGGAAUCUGCAAUUUUGGCAGGUAAAACAGUUCAUUAAAAAAAGAGAAAAAAUAGGAGAAAAGGCUUUCUUUUCCUGAAUGAAAAGUAAUCUUUUCAGGUUUGGCCCGGCCCUAUUUAUUUUGACCUUUUAUAGCUGCGGGGAGAGGGGAAGUAUGGGUUAAACCUUUACCAUGAUUAAUUUUAAACCAUAAUUCAACUUUCCAACUUUUUAUUAUUUGGAGAAGAUAAAUUUUAAAAAAGAUAUUUUGGAGUUUAUAAAUUAAUUGUUUGUUCCUUGCUAAUUGAAUUCCUGACUAUAUUAUAAUUCCUCAAAUAGAUAGGAAUUCACAUUUUGACUUCAUCGUAAUAUCUAAGAUCUAUUUCAAAUUUAGUUAACUUUGCCUUUCUUACUACUCCCUACGUCUUCUUUUCGUAUCAGAUUCUGGAGAUUCUCUUUCAUUGCUUCAUCAUCAUUAGUACUGAGAUUAAUGAGUUGAUAGAGAUGAAGAUGAAGAAAUAGUGUACUGUCCUCCUUUUGAGCUUUCGGAAUGUUGUUAGCUUUCCUUUUUUGUUUUCUUUUUGCUUUUUGUUAUUUUUACCUGUUUCCAGGUUGGGUUUGGGGCCUUGACCUGGUUUUGGGUUCAGUUUGUACGUCUUUCUUUUUGGUUAAUAAAAAGGCCUAUGGGGCCCUAUGCCUUUAAUUUAAAAAAAAAAAAAAAAUACUCCCUACGUUUCAAUUUGAUUGCCUUACUUUCCUUUUUAUUCCGUUUAAAAAGAAUAUCUUUCCUUUUUUGGAAAUCUUUAGCUUGAACAAUUUAAGACCACAAGAUUCGUUUGAACAAUUUAAAACCACAAGAUUCGAAAGUGUUUUACUUUCCUAAACUCCGUGUCUAGUCAAAAUUAGACUAACAAAAUAAAGCAGAGGGAGUAAGAGAAAGCAAGUAAAUAAGGCAAAAAAAUUUAUUUAUGAAGUGUUUCCUUUUUACACCUUUUUCAAGAAUGAAGUUCUUGGUUUUCAUUUACCUUAACUUUUUCAGCCACAAACUGACAAUAUAGUUGGCACUAAGUUCAUGAUUAAGAAUCUGGUUUAAAGUUUUAAUGACUGAGAUAUAUCAGUUGUAAACUAUCUCUUACAACUUAAUUGUCUUUAUCUGAACCUUUCCAGUUGUGUGACCGAAAAAAUAGUCUUUGGGGAAACCUCCUAUAUCUUCACAUUCCUUGCUAUUUUUCUUCGGUCUUUUAAAUCAACAUCCUGAGAAAAGAGUUUUGAAUUUCUGACUACAAUUAAACUUCCUUGAAUAGAUAGGAAUUCAUAUUGACUUCAUAAUAUCUAAAAUCUAUUUCAGAUUUAGUUAACUUUGACUUUAGGACUAAAAGAACACAAGUAAAUAAGGAAAAAAAUUUAGCGUUGAAGAUUUUGAUUCAUGGUCUUCCGGUGAAGGUGCAAAUACUAAUUAUACUUCCUUGAAUAGAUAGCAAUUCAUAUGUGACUUGCAGCAUAAUAUCUAAAAUUUAUUUCAGAUUUAGAUAACUUUGAUUUUCUUACUAAACGAACGCAAGUAUGGAAAAAAAUUUAGUGUUGAAGAUUUUGAUUCUUUAUUUUUCGGUGAGGAUGCAAAUAUUAAUAUUCAGAUCACCAUCUACUAACUUCCUUCUCUAUUUUUUGAAUAUAAAAUUGAAAAUACCAUUUAUGGCAUUUUUCCUUUUCCUCCUUUUUCAAGAACGAAUUCCUUAAUUUUCAUUUAUUUUAUCUUUUUCAACUAACAUAGUGACAAUGAAGUUAGCACUAAGUUGAUGAUUCAGAAUCUAGUAUAAAGUUUUAAUGUCUCAUCUAUGAUUUAGCCAUGAUUUAGCACUAAGGAACAUCGCUGUAUAUCAGACUGAAAAUGACUUUUUCACUCAGAUACCGUCCUAAAAAUAAAAGUUGGACUCAAAACUAUGAGUUACCACUUGUUGUCUUUAUCUGAUCCUUUCCGGUCUAUGUAAUCACUUGACUAACAAAAUAUUGUCUUAUGCAAAACCUCUUACACUGCUUAAUGCUAAAGCUGAGAUCUCUUUACAUUCACCAAGAAAGGACAAAAGCAGAUAAAGCUUGUAAGGAAGAGAAGGAACAAAUAUGUUCUCCAUUCCUUCAAAAAAUAUUAAUGUACGACAAAAUAGAGAUCAUGACAUAUGACCAAGAAUUGCAUAUGACUGUAAAGGUGGAAAAUGGGAGGGUUGGGUCAAAUUCGGGCGCAUCAAAAUGGGUCAAAGCAAUUAUUGGGUCCCCGCCAAAAAUGGUUGGGUCAAGAUGGGUCAAACAACAGGUCAUAAACCAAUAUCUCCCCUCUUUCAGAACAUAUCACUGUUGUUAGAAGAAACUCAUUGACGUUUUGCAUUUGGGGAACUGGUAAUAUGUAUUAGAGUGUACCCGCGUCUAUGAUUCAAUGACUUGUCCAUGCCAAUGUGAUUUAAUCUAACUAAUUAGACUAAUUGUGCCAUCUAAGCUUACCAAAAAAAUUUGGCCUGAUUUAGUUAUGUUGAAAUUGCACAAAUGAUGGAAACAGCCUUUCUACUUCAUCAGAGGUAGAGGUAUGGACUGCGUACAUCUUACCCCCCAGACCCCACUAAGUGGGAAUACACUGGGUUUGUUGUUGUUGUUGUUGUUGAAAUUGCACAAAUGAUGGAAGAAACAAAAUCAUAAUUACCCUAGUCACCAAAUUUAUUUCAGAUUUAGUUAACUUUGAUUUUCUUAUUAAAUGAACGCAAGUAAGUUAAAAGGGCAGCCCAGUGCACUCAAGCUACCGCUAUGCGCAGUGUCCAGGGAAGGGCCCCACCACAAGGGUAUAUCGUAUGCAACCUUACCUUGCAUUUCUGCCAGAGGCUGUUUCCAAAGCUUGAACGCGUGACCUUCUGAUCACAUGGCAGCAACUUUACUAGUUACUCCAAGGCUCCCCUUCGAAACAAACGAAGUAUGGAAAGAAUUUUUUUUUUUUAUUCUUUAUUUUUCGGUGAAGGUGCAAAUACUAAUAUUCAGAUCACCAUCUACUAACUUCCUUCUCUAUUUUUUGAAUAUAAAAUUGAAAAUACCAUUUAUGGCGUUUUUCUUUUUCCUCCUUUUUCAAGAACGAAUUCCUUAAUUUUUAUUUACUUCAACUUUUUCAACUAAAAUAGUGACAAUGAAGUUAGCACUAAGUUGAUGAUUAAGAAUCUAGUAUAAAGUUUUAAUGUCUCAUCUAUGAUUUAGCCAUGUUUUGCUAUUGCGGAGUUGCGAUAUAUACAUUAAGUAUAAUAUUCCUUGCUAAAUUUUCUUCCGUCUUCUAAAUCACAUCCUGGAAUGUUUUUUGAAUUUCUGCCUUCCUUGAAUGGAUAGGAAUUUAUUACAGAUUUACUUAACUUUGACUUUCUUACUAAAAGAACGCAACUAAAUAAGGAAAAAAAUUUAGAGUUGAAGAUUUUGGUUCUUGGUUUUUUGGUGAAGGUGCAAAUACUAACUUCCUUUUCUAUAUUUUGAAUAUCAAAUUGGAAAUAUUAUUUAUGACGGUUGUCCUUUUCCUCCUUUUUCAAGAAUGAAGUUCGUAUUUUACAUUUACCUUAACCUUUCCAACCGACAUAGUGACAAUGAAGUUAGCACUGAGUUGAUGACUAAGAAUCUGGUGUAAAGUUUUAUUGACUGAUAAGAUUUAGUCAUGCUGUUGAUACUGCUGAACAGAGACUUGUAUUACUCAGUGCUUCUGCACUAAUAUUAAAGGUCUAAGACUUCAAUUUUGCAGAAAACAAAUUGAACUCUGAUUUGUGUCAUCUGGUUGACCUAAAAGCUGGAAGGAACAUCGCUGUGUAUCAGACUGAAAAUGACUUUUUCACUCAGAUACCUUCCUAAAAAUAAAAAUUGGACUCAAAACUAUGAGUUACCGCUUGAUGUCUUUAUCUGAUCCUUUUCGGUCUAUGUAAUCACUUGACUAACAAAAUAUUGUCUUGUGCAAAACCUCUUACACUGCUUAAUGCUAAAGCUGACAUCUCUUUUACAUUCACCAAGAAAUGACAAAAGCAGAUAAAGCUUGUAAGGAAGAGAAGGAACAAAUAUGUUCUCCAUUCCUUCAAAAAAUAUUAAUGUACGACAAAAUAGAGAUCGUGACAUAUGACCAAGAAUUGCAUAUGACUGUAAGGGUGGAAAAUGGGCGGGUUGGGUCAAAUUCGGGCGCAUCAAAACGGGUCAAAGCAAUUAUUGGGUCAAGAGCCAAACCCGCCAAAAAUGGUUAGGUCAAGAUGGGUCAAACAACAGGUCAUAAACCAAUAUCUCCCCUCUUUCAGAGCAUAUCACAGUUGUAACAACGAAGAAACUCAUUGAUGUAUUAGAGUGCACCCGCGUUUAUGAUUCAAUGACUUAUCCAUGCCAAUGUGAUUUAAUCUAGCUAAUUAGACUAACUGUGCCAUCCAAGCUUACCAAAAAAAUUUGUCCGGAUUUAGUUAUGUUGAAAUUGCAUAAAUGAUGGAAGUAACAGAAUCAUAAUUACCCUAGUCACCAAAUUCCGCAUCUACAUCAUUGAUCACUAGGCACACUAAUCAUCCCAUAGUCAAAACACUCAAGGUCAGAAAGAGAACUGAUUAGAGUAACAAUCCACAAUUGUUAUGCGAGAAGUAAGGUAAGUUUACCAUAACACAACCAGAACACCAUAAGCAUUCUGAUAAACUACACAAGUUUAUACAAACGAAACGACUAAAGGAUUCAAGUUAUUACAGUUAAGCCAGUACCAUGGACAGUAGAAUUAAGCUGCAUUCACAUUCGAGAGGACCUGUAGCAUGAGUAACUAAGAGCUAUCGUUGUGGCAUCAAGCAUUUGAUCAGCAGCAAACAUGAUCUUCCACUGCAGCAAGAUCUAUUAGAAAAGUAGUACAAAGAAUUACUAAUUGAUCCAUAUGAAUGAGAAAUCAGUUUUGCAUCUCAAACAGAACCAUAUGAAGAAACUCCUGUAAACAAAUACUAAAUAGAUAAAUUAGCCGCUUUCCAUUGCAAGUGCAACAAUAUCAAGAAACUACAACCCAUAAACAGAUAACUGUGGAGUAAGUUUCUUUUUUCGAGACUACAUAUUUAACGAUAGCAAUCAUGUCAUGUAAGUACCACGACAUGCCACAAAUGAGUGAAAUAACAUGAAUACAAGCAUAUUAAUGAAUAGGGGUUGAAUAAAUAGGGCAAUGGAUAGAGGCUGUCGCAAGGAUAAGUUCAGCAUCUAAGAAAAGAAAGCACAAGGACAGUGCAAAGUCACCAUGAACUAGCUAACAAGACUAUACGCAAUCAGUAUCAGAUCUCCCAAUGCAUUUUCUCUAUCAAAUAAUAAAAUGACAUACAUGAAUUUACAGAGCAAUUAGAUCAAGCAUGCACAUGACACACAUCAGAAUAUGGCUAAGAAUCACAUUUGAACUCCAAAUGUGAUGGUUGCUGAGAUAUUUGGCAACCUAAACUGCAUUCACGUUUAUGCUGCUCACACCUGAUUUUUGGCAUUUGCAACUCAACAUCCUAUUCCUACAUUAACAUUACUAAGCAUGAUUGUGUCAGAGCCAACAUUCGACGGGUACCUACUAGAUUAACAUAGUUCUCCAUCCUCUACAACCGUGAUGGAGAUAAGUACUAGAAAUAAUCCAUCCUCUUCAAUUUCCUUUUAUUUUCUUCCCCUUCCUCUUCAUUCAAAUAGACUAGCCCUAAAAAGAAGAGGGAUCAAAGAGGAAAAAAAUAAAGUUGGAUUUAAAGAAUUUAAUCUACCCGACCAUCAACCUCUCUACUUCUUCGGAGGUAGCGGUAUGGACUACGUACAUCUUACCCUCCUCAGACCCCACUUUGUGGGAACACACUGGGUUUGUUGUUGUUGUUGUUGUUGAAUCUACCCGACUAUGAGAAUCAAACUGAUUAAUAUUAUAUUUAUCUUCUGGAAGACACUGAAGUAACCCUAAAUCAUUUUCCAAAUGAAAACAAGAUAAAUAUAAACGUUGAUCAUCCAUUAACUAUAUAUAAUGUCAGUUGAGCAAGUGGUUGAAGUAACCCUAGUUAAGUUUUCAAUUAAAACAAAGAAAGAAAACUAAGUUUGGAACAUCCGAACACAUAUAGCUCAAAUCUAAAAUUGGUCUAUAAUUUUUUAUUUGCUUAUCUAGGGUUUUUGGACCUGACAAUCGAAUGAAUCAAAAAAUAGAUGACAGGAUGAAACAUGAGUUACAUGUCACUGCCUAAACCUUUUUGUUGAGCGAAAUUAAGCUGUUGAAGUAACAUCUUAGGUAUGAUGAGAACUUAAUCACCGAAAAGAAAGUCACUUCAAAGUUUUCAUCACCAUAGUAGCAUAUAAUUUAGGCAAGAUGGUUUGUUCUCUGAAAGUCAAAUAUAACAUCCACUCAACAACAACAACAAACCCAGUGCAAUCCUACAAGUAGGGUCAUCAGAGAUAGGAUGUAUGCAGACUUAUCCUACCUUUGCGGGUUAGAGAGGUUGCUUUUGGGAAUCCCACAACUACUUCCACUCACACCCUAAAACCGCAUCAUAAGAUGGUGAAUGUUUUUGUUACUCUAGCUUCAUUGAGAAUCCAAAGUGGAAAACCCUUACUGACACGAUUGCAGGAAACAUAUAGAUGUACCUCUAGUCUUCUAACAUGAAGAGAAAGCCAUUGACGCGUUAACUGCUCAUGCAAAGUGUCAAAUCUCUGGUACCAUAGCUGUCCUGGUUUCUCUAUCUUGGCAUUCACGCAAACGACAAAAAAGGAGAAAAUAAAUGGUUACAACUAACCAAAUCCAACUAUCCUAGUUGUUCGGACUUGCUCUGGAUUUACUAUCCAAUACAACAUACAUUAAGUCGACGGGGUUGGUAACAAAUUUAAUCCCACUUUACCUACCGACCACGUGUUCAAUAGACAUUAGUAUGACCAAUAAUUACUUGUUGAACAAGCAUGUGGAAUACAUAAAAAACUAUAAGAGUUGGAAACACUUUCUGUACUUCGCAACAUCGAUAAAGACAUCAGAUAUCACUUAUCAGUUAUUUCUUAUGAUACUAGGUAAUGGCUACGGAUGACACAUCCCAAGCAUGCAUGUAUAAUCAUUGCAUUGGUAAGAAAAUUGAAACUUAUGUUUUGGCUUUAUCUUGGCAUCAACACCAGUAGUGGAAAAAGCUUGUAAUUUCCUAGUAAGAGAAUCCAUCAUUAACUUCUUUAUAGUACAGAGUAUCAAACAAAUGUGCGAAAGUACAUCGAUCUGUUGUCUAAAUUUGCAUACCCACAAAAUCCAGAUAUGCCAAAUCAUUUUCUCCACUAAUGCAAAAUAUAGAAGAAGUGACUGAUAAAAGUGUAGACUCUCGACUGUACAUUCAACUCCUAUCUCCAUACAUCAAUGUGAGCUGCAGAAAAGGUUCGUCUUUUUAUAAGUGAUGCACAAAAUUAUACAAGUACUUUACUCGAGUUUAGUUAAGAUUGCCAUAAAUGCAAGUCUUGCUUAGAUAACAUUCCUUUUGAGAAGAUGGUCUAUCAAAAACCACCCCGCUACCCCUUAGUUAUACAAGUACUUCACUCGAGUUUAGUUAAGAAUGCCAUAAAUGCAAGUCCUGCUUAGAUAACAUUCCUUUUGAGCGGACGGUCUAUCAAAAACCGCCCCUCUACCCCCUUCCUACCAUCCCGAGGCAUGUUGUUGUUGCCGUAAAUGCAAGAAGACAAACAUAUAAAAAGCGAAGAUAUUUGUAGCUACCAUCUGAUUGAAUGAAACUAAAAAAAGAACAAACUUUGUAAUUUUAAUAACAAAACUAGUUUAACUACUCAGGAAAAAAGAAGAAAGUUACCACAUUUAACGAAAAUGGAAUAAAGCAAUUUGACCAAUUUUAUUGCAAGGAUACCUUUAAUCAUCGACAUUACCCUGUGCACUGCUCUCUCCACUAGCAAUGGUCUUAUCCUCAGCAACCUGCCACGCCUGAGGCUGGGCAUAGACAGAUGGGUAAACCCUAGGCUUAGCAGUACUUCUAAUCAUCACCUCAGAUGGAGCAGUCUGCCCCAUGGGUGGAUUGAAGUUCUGAAUACCACUUGACGCAGUCCCUCUAAUCAUCACCUCAGAUGGAGCAGUCUGCCCCAUGGGUGGAUGGGCGUUCUGAACAUCACUUGAUGUGGAGCCAAGCAUGCUGGGCCCAAAACCAGCACCCUCUUCCCUGAUCUCAUCCUUAUGAACAAUGUCAACAAGGAAAUCAAAAAGCUCAGUCCGCUCAAUCGCCUUGGCGACAUCCUUCUUCUGCACCAUCCGUCGUUUAUUCUCCUCCGUGUUAAGCCACGAGUGGAGAGUAAGUUCCUGUAUGAACAUUUCACAUGCUUUCACCAUCAACAUUGGUGCUUCCCCGGAGACCUUGCAAACAUCCUCGUUAUCUUUCAUCAACCUCUUGACACGAGCAAGCGGAAGUUUGUUGUUCUUGAAAUUGUUCGUCUCGUUAAUUUCCUUGAGCUGACACGCCCAAAAUGCUUCCAACUUCUGUUGCUGUUCCUGUUCUUUUUGAUGAUGAUGAUGCUGCUGAAGGAGUUGGUUGUAGGGAACCUGCAGUGGGUACCCAGCGGCAGCGGCCGCCGCCACUGAAUUCUCCCCUAGUUGUUGUUCCUGCUGCUGCUGCAGGACAUGGUAGUAGGGUACCACCAUUGGAUACCCAGCCGCAGCUGCAUUCUCUUCCAACCGCUGUUCUUGUUGUUGCUGCUGAAGGAGCUGGUAGUAGGGUACCUGCAGUGGGUACCCAGUUGCCGCUGCCACCGCCGCAGCAGCAGCUGCAUUCUCUGCCAACGGCUGUUCCUGCUCCUGUUGCUGCUGCUGCUGCUGCUGAAGGAGCUGGUAGUAGGGUACCUGCAGUUAGGAGUGAAAUCCGAUAUUUGGUUAGGUUUGGUUUGGUUUUGAAUUUUAAAAAAUCGAUACUAAUUUGGUUUGGUUUGGUUUUACUCUAAAAUAAUCGACAAAAUAACCAAACCAAACCGAUAUAUAUAUAUAUAUAUAUAUAUAUAAAUUAUUCAUAAAUACAAUAUAAAUAUUUGUUACAAUUUAUAUUUUAAUCAUGAUUUAACUGUAGUCGUAACACAUCCAGUCAUAUGUCUUCACCCAAUUGAUAGUACUUAUGAGAUUCUAAGUGAAUUUAGCACUUUGAAUGACAAAUGAUACUAAUUGUGAAAAUAAUAUCUUGUUGUAUGUUGAAAUUUACAGCUGACAUUAAUUAAACUAUAGACAAUUACUAGUUUUAAUUUUCUUUUUGAACCUUAUUGAGCAAUAAGUUUAUGUGUUCACUUUUUUGGGUUUAUCAUAUCAUUCUGUUAAAUGUAGUUAUUCCAUGGCUUUAUCGAAGUAUAACACCGAGUUGAUAUCUUAGUUUCAAGGUUGAAAUACAACACUCGGUUGACAUCUUAUAUGUUAGAUUGGAUUUUUUUAAAAGAAAUUUCAACUUUUAUCAUUAGCUAAAGUAAUAAACCGAAAAAAACAAACCGAACCGAACUAAACCAACGAGAACCAAACCAACGGUUAGUUUUUUGUUUGGUUUGGUUUUAGAAAUUUAAAAAACUAGGUUUGGUUUCGAACAGUAACGGACCCAUGAACACCCUACCUGCAGUGGGUACCCAGAUUCCGCCGCCACCUCUACACUCCCCACCGAUUGUUGUUCCAGUUGUUGCUGCUGUUGCUGGAGUUGGUAGUAGGGUACUUGCAGUGGGUACCCAGCUGCCGCCGCCGCCGCUGCAUUCACCGCCGCCGCCGCCGCCGCCGCCGCCGACUGCUGUUCCCGUUGCUGCUGCCGCUGAAGGAUAUGGUGAUAGGGUACCUGCAUUGGGUACCCCGCCGCCGCUGCCCCCGCAGCAUUCACCGCCGAUUGCUGCUCCUCCGGCUGUUGGAGAUGGUAAUGGGGUACCUGCAUUGGGUACCCACCUCCGGCCACUGCAUUCUCCGACGAGUUUUUCGAUGUGUUCUUCAUUGAGCUUUCAACGAAUGGGUGACAAAAACGAGGUUAACAAACACAGAGAGUGAGAAAUGGGUGUGUUGAGCUUCUGUUCAUACUCACUAUUUGUAACAAACUCCAUUUGCACUAUUUCUAACAAACUCCAUUUGCACUGUUUCUAACAAAUUCCAUUUGUACAUAUGAGCGAUUAAACGGAGGAGUGAGGUCCACCAUCCUCGGUAACGGACGGAACCUCGUUUCUUUGUAAGCGUAGCCGGUGGAAUCAUCUGAGUAAAAAAACGCCUCAGCCACAUCCAUUUUUUUGUGAUUGUCGAAAACGACAACUUCUCAACAGCCAAAAUCAUGAAUUGAACUGAAAAGCAGGUUCAAUUCAACUGCUAUAAAGAGACGAUCCAAAUAUAAUAACGUCAAUAACGUAAAUGCUGGUAACCUAAUAGUCUGUAAAGGCAAAAUAAUAGCUAAUAAGAUAAAAUGUUGAACCGAAAGGCAUUAGCAUUUGAAAGAUUUGAGUGUAAGUGGUUUUAACGAGGUGGAGACGAUGAUAAUGAAAACAGGUCGGGUGAAAAUGGGUGAGUUGGGUUGGUGUGCGUAUACGUAUGUAUGUUGGGUUGGGGUAGAAGAAUUAUAUUGUAAAAAAAAAAUUGUUAGAAUAAAAAUAUAAUAAGAUUUAAAAAAAAUAAUUAGUGAUGUAUUUUAUUCUUUCACUUUGAAUUUAUUUAUCAUAUUUUAAUCUUACAUAAUUAUUAAAAAAGUAAUUAUUUGUAUAGUAAAUUUAUCAUAUUAUUUCUAUUAAUUGAUGUUUAAAGGGUGUUUGAAUUAGUUUAUUUUAAAAUAAUUUAAUUUUUAAGUAUUUUUUACUUUUAAAGAUAUUUGGCAAAAAUAGAAAGUAUUUUUACACAUUUAACAAUACGCAAGUACAUACAAAAAGAAAAGGCCAAGUGGUUGCUAUAGUAGUUUUGGCUUUUAGUUUUUGCUAAAUUUAUUUGGCACGGAAAAAUAGACAUCUAUGACACGGUAAAAAUUUAUAUAUACCCGAUAUAUACAUCAAAUUAAUUUUUUUUAUCAUAAUUAUGUAAUUAAAUUAAGUAAAAUAUAUAUUGAUUAAUCAUGGUUAAGUAACAUCAAUUUUAAAUUCAAAUACAUGGCAUGCAAGUAUUGGCUUGGUAUAUACACCGGGUGCGUAUAAGUUUUUUUCCGCUAUGACACUGUCUUUGUAGUAUUUUUAUAAUUAACUUGUCAACUAAGGAUGGAUUAGUAACUUCAUAAAUUUUUAUGACUCAAAGAUACCCUUUAAAUUUUAAAAUACUUUACCGAAACAACAAACUACUCUCUCUCUUCCUAAAAAAAACCGUAUAUAUUCACGUAUAUAUUAUUUAAGACUAGUUUUUGACACGUGCUUUGCACGUAUAUGUCAAAUGGUGCAUUCUCCGAUAAUUUUUUCGAUGUGUUCUCCAUUGUGCUUUCGACGAAUGGGCGAUAAAAACGAGGUUAACAAUACAGAGAGUGAGAAAUGGUGUGUUGAGCUUCCGCUCAUACUCAUUAUUUCUAACAAAUUGAAUUUGUACAUAUUAGCAGAUAAACAAGGAGAGUGAGGUCCACCAUCAUCACUAACAGACGGAACCUCAUUUCUCUUUUGAGGGGAAAAUUGUCUUACACUCAUCCAAUUUUUUGUGCUAGUUGAAAAGGACAAACUCCUCAACAGCUAAAAAACAUGAAUUGAACUAAAAAGCAGGCUUAACUCAACAUGAUAAAGAGCCGAUCCAAAUUCAAUAACGUAAAUGCUGAUAAUCGAAUAGUUUAUAAAGGCAAAAUAACAGCUAAUAAGAUAAAAUAUUAAACGGAAGGCAUUAGCAUUUGAAAGUUUUGAGUGUAGGAGGUUUUAAUGGAAGUUUUAAGAUGGAGAAGAUGACAAUGAAAAUAGGUCGGGAGAAAAUGGGUUGGGUGUGUGUGCAUAUAUAUGUUGGGUUCGGUAAAAGAAUUAUAUUGGAGAAAAUUUUAAUCUAUAGAGUAUAUGUAUAAUUUAUAUUCUCUUUCUCUCCUCUCUUUCUCUCUCUCUGUAUUAUAAUUAUAAUAUAUUAAAAGUGUGAAUACCUUUAGAAAUGUGAUUUGAACCUUUCACCCUUCAUUAAAAAUCUCCACAAUAAAUGAAAUUGUCUUUUCACUUAUUUCCUGCAAUUAUUAUAUCAUUAUAUUUAUAAUAAAGGAUUCCUAAAUAUAUGGUAAGAAAAAAAUAUAUGAAAAUUUAUUAUUGCUGAAUUUUUUUUUUCUCUUUGUGUACUUGAGAAAGGAUUCCUAUAUUCAAAAUAAGAGGGAAAAAAGGAAAAUAAGAUGAUUUUUAUCAAAAUUUAAAUAAUAAAUUUAAUAGCAGACAUCUUUUAAUAAAUUAAAACAAGGAAAAUAACUAAAAGCACACGAUUUUUUUUUUUUGCUUCAAAUUUUGGUAGUAUUAGACCUCUAUUUUUUUUUACAAAAUAAAAAGAAAUAUAAUUUUAAUAGUAUAUUAUUGUUCGAACGUGCAGGACAUCUGCUAUAUUUGGGAAUCUUUAUUAUUUUUAUAUUAUUGUUAUAAAUGUAUUUACAUUAUAGUGAAUGUCUAUCAAGAUCUAUUUGAUAUCUAUUAGGAUUUGAAGCAUUCGUCUUUUACUCAGACUAGGAGUAAAUUUUUCCUAUAAAUAGAAGGGUUUCGUUCAUUGUAUUUACAAUCUUAUGAUCUCUUAUCCCUCAAGAGAAGUAAUAAGAAUUACUCUCUCUUCUCUCUCUACUCUUCUUCUUUGUUCUUUCUUAUUUUAUAACACGUUAUCAGCACAAAGUCUCUACUUUAUUUCAAUUAGUCAGACGGUAAGCUUGAAUCUUGGUAUGGGUAAGAUAUCUACGCGUGAUGUAAACUGAAAAUUUUGAUGGCUAAUAAAUAAUGAAUUUGUAUAAGGAAUAUAUAAUCUUUCUAUGUACGUACAAUCACUAGCCACUGUUGCUUAUUUAAAGUUAGCUUUUAAGGGGAAAAAAAAUCUACAUUAUAUGUAUGUAAUUUGCUGGCAAUGUUCUCUGUGUUGGUUACUUUUGCCGUAGCUAGCCACAUUUUUUUUUCUUUACAUAAAUUGUUAUGACAGUAUAGCCACGACAUGUGUAUUGCUACUUAUAUGUCCUAUUGUUUUGAGUACGAGAAAAUUGAAAAGUCCUACAUAUCGUUGAGUGUUAAUGUUAUUGUAUUAAUUUUGUAGAAUUUAUCCUAAACAAUCUUGUAAAUUGGAUAUCUCAUUGUGCANNNNNNNNNNNNNNNNNNNNNNNNNNNNNNNNNNNNNNNNNNNNNNNNNNNNNNNNNAGAUGAUAAUAUGUUGGGUUCAAGUCCCAUCGAUUCAUGCCUAAGAUGCCUUUAUAUAGAUCAAAUAUUGAGUUUGAAUCUCAAUACACCAUAUUGAUGAUAUUGUGAUGGCUAAGGUAAAAUAAUGGGUGUUUGAUGAAAAGUCAUGAAAUUCGACCCAUUGAAUAUGCUUCAUUCCAUUAGGUGAAUAUGGUAGCAAUGUAUGAUAAGUCUAAAAUAUGACAACUUACUUUAUUCUUGAGGUAUAUGUGGUAGCAGUGCAUAAUAUGUCUGAAAGAAGACAAGUGAUUGAAUGCACGAAUAUAUGCGUGGAGAGACAAUAUGAUAAUGAUCAUCAAAAGUGAUGAUAUUUUCACACGCUUAUAUGAUUAUAAGAUAUGCUAGAGAAAAAAAAUAAUUUUNNNNNNNNNNNNNNNNNNNNNNNNNNNNNNNNNNNNNNNNNNNNNNNNNNNNNNNNNNNNNNNNNNNNNNNNNNNNNNNNNNNNNGGCUUAAGGCACGAUUAUAUUUCAUUCCUGGGGAAUGAGAAACUUAUUAAUGCAAACAUGCACUUGAUUGUGCUUGUAUCACAACUCACCUCCGAAAGAGGUUGAAUAAUUUUGAAACCUACUUCUGAAGUAGUAAAUCUAAAAUUUAUUCAUGUAAGAGUAAAUCUAAAAUUUACUAAAGAAAAAGUACAUGUCAUGGUAAACUUGGAGUUUACUAGAAUAAAAGUUCAUAAAUUGAUAUGAACAAUUGUGACAUCUUGAAGAUGUGCAUGUCUUGAAGAACUAGAAGUUUUUUCAAGAAUUGUUUAUGUCGUUUGUUCUCAUGACAAGUUGGUUGGACCACCUAAUAUUGGGCUUGAAUCCCUUCAAAUCUGACAAUUAUAAAAGGUGAAUAAGGGUUCGUUCACCUAUCAUGUGAUAUGUUGAAAAGAUGCAUCAAUAAGAUGAUCACAUGUACAUUCAUGGUCAACCUACGUUUGACAUUCAUAAAGUUACUUGUUCAAUAUAAAUUGAGCAUAAUUUUCAGAUUGUGCAAUCAAGAAAGUUAUCUUGACGAUGAUGGUUAGGCAUUGAAUGCCUUUGAUAAAUAGCUAAACCAUCACUAAUGAGAACAAAGCUUCAUGUGUUGGUCUGAAAUAUAAUAUGUUGCAUACAAUAACACUUGUAUGCAUUAGACCAAUAAAUUAUGAUUAUUUCUUCUCUCUCAAUUGGUUCAAGGUCGGGAACUAAUUAUUUCAUCUAAUAUUUUGAUGUGCAGUAUACGAUUAAUGAAUAUACCAUAAUGCACAAAGAUGGAUUCCUCAAAGAAGUAGAGGAUGUAUAUUAGUUUUUCUAACAUAAGGGGGAUAUUAUAAGCGCUGUGAAAUAUGUUAGGAAUUAUUAUCACAUCCUCAUCCAAAAGAUAACUCAAGUCAAAUGUCGAAAGCAUCUCAUAUCAAGCGCAGGUGCUCUUAUUUUGUGUUUCUCAAAGACAGAGUCUAUGCAUGCGUAAAGCGUAGUAGACUAAUCGGUUCUAAAUGAAAUAGUCCUUGAAAAAUAAGGAGCAAAUAAUCAUAAUAAGAAAGCAAUGAGCUCUUGAAGAGCCUAUGACAUAACACUUCAUAAAACCUUAUGAGAGGUUCAUGUAUCUGAAAAUAAUGAAGUGAUUAGAUCUCAAAAUAUUAUGUCUCAUUGUGAUCAGAUACGAAAUGAUAUAUCAUCAAUAUAUUUGACACAAUAUUGACGCAAUAUUGAGAAAGAUUACAAGGAUCUGAAUUCUACGUUUAUUUAAGCAAGCUGACGUAGAAACAUUUAUCAAGUGACAUGAAAGGAUGCAUUUUGGUAAGCGUAAAACUUAUUUGAUUUGCAGUCCAGACACUUGAAGAUGUCACUUAUGAAAUGUUGAAUAUUAUCACUUGACAAAACUUAUGUGAAAACUUUUAAGGAUUCAAACUACUUGAAGCAUAUAAAAGUUUCUGGGAAACUUAUUUAUAAUCCUUAUAUUGUAUAAGCUUAUUGCUUGAACAUCAUUGAAACUCUUGGAGAGUUUUCAAAGCAAUAGAUUAUUUGCUGAAAUUCGAAAUAUGUCGAAUUAGAUUGGUUAUGAAGUGCCAUAUCUUAGUGCAAUUGAUGUAAUCAUGUACCUUGCAAAUACUAUAAGGCCUAUAGCCUUUCCAGUCAAUUUGUUAGCAAGGUAUAUUUCUGCUUCUACUAUGAGACAUCAAAUGGGAUAAAACACAUGAGUUUAUUUUAUUCUAAAGAUUGCAGUCCCGAUCUUACUGGUCAUGCUGAUGUUGGGUACUCAUCUAACCCGCACAAAUCUCGAUCUCAAACAUACAAUAUGUUCACAUGUGGGGAUACUGCCAUAUCUUGGAGAUAUACAAAGCAGUCUAUUGCAGCCACUUCAUCAAAUCAUGCUGAGAUAAUAGGUAUUCAUGAAGCAAAUUGAGAAUGUGUAUGGUUGAGGUCCAUGAUACAUCUCAUUCGAGAAAAAUGUGGUGUGAAAUAUGACAAUCUACCUACAAUUUUAUACAGAGAUAAUUCAACAUACAUAGCACAUCUUAAGGGAGGAUUCAUAAAUGGAGAUAGAAUGACGCACAUUUUGCCAAAAAUUUUCUACAUACAUGAGCUACAAAAGAAUGAUGAUAUUAACGUGCAAAAAAUUCGUUCAACUGACAAUGUGACUGAUUUAUUCACCAAAUCUUCUCCAAUUGCAAUUUGCAAGAAGAUGCUGCACAAGAUCGAGAUGCAAAGGUCAAGGAUGAUCUCAUUAAGGGGAGUUAAUACGCGUUGUACUCUUUUUCCCUUAUGAGGUUUUGUCCCACUGGGUUUUCAUUGUAAAGUUUUUAAUGAGGCAGCCUAUAUGCGUAUUGUUAGAGAUGUGUACUCUUUUUCCUUCACUAGAUUUUUUUUCACUGGGUUUUUUCUAGUAAGGUUUUAACGAGGUACAUUAUCUACCAAUUAGACAUUCAAGGGGGAGUGUUAUAAAUGUAUUACAUUAUAGUGAAUGUCUAUCAAGAUCUACUUUGAUGUCUAUUAGGAUUUGAAGCACAUGUCUUUUACUCAGACUAGGAGUAAAUUCCCCCUAUAAAUAGAGGGGUUUUGUUCAUUGUAUUUACAAUCUUAUGAUCUCUCAUCCCUCAAGAGAAGUAAUAAGAAUUACUCUUUCUUCUCUCUCUACUCUUCUUCUUUGUUCUUUCUUAUUUUAUAACAAUUAUAUUAUUAUCAGAAAAUUUUUAUGAUUGCACCCCGAAUGAAAAACUUUCAUAUUUAGUUAAUCCUUUUUGGACGAUGGUUUAGACUUCUACAAAUUAAGGAUUCUUUCUUUCUAAAAUAAUAUAAAAGCAUUUACAAGGUACAUAUUGGUGGAACAAAUAUUUUUAUAACUAGUUUUUCGAUGAACUUUAAAGAUGUUGUCUAAUAAUCACAAAAUGUCAGACUUUAUUGAAUUGUUCUAAUAUUUUAAUUAGAGAAAAUGCAUCAAAUUCCCCCUGAACUUGUCCGCUCAACUCACUUUAGCACUUAAACUAAAUUUUUUAUUUAUUUACCCCCUAACAUCUUUAAAGUGAUUUAAUUUUAACCCUACAGCUGAUGUGGCAUUUAAAAAAAUAUGCAUGAAUAUUAAAAAAAAAAUACUAAUAUUUUAUAUAUAUUUUUUUAAAAAACUACUAUUCCCUCCGUUUAAAAAAGAAUGAUCUACUUUUCUUUUUAGUCCGUUUAAAAAAGAAUGACCCCUUUCCUUUUUUAACAAUACUUUAAUUUCAUCUUUCCACAUGACAUGUUUAGGACCACAAGAUUAAAGGACAUUUUGGUACAUUUGACACAACUUUAAUUUAAGGCCACAAGAUUUAAAAGUCUUCUUUAUUUUCUUAAACUUUGUGCCGAGUCAAAGUAGGUCAUUCUUUUUUAAACGGAGUGAUUAAUGUAUAUAUAUAGAAAAAGAAAAAGAAUUAAAAAAAUUCCUCUUCUUCUUCACCCAUCCCACCCCCAAACCCGUCAACACACUCCUCUUUCACCAAAUCCACCACCAAACCCACCAACAUCCCCACCCCACUUUUCCCCCAAUUACGAAAACUGUCAUCCCCCAUCUUUAAUUUCCCCUCCUUCAACCCCUUAGAUCAAUAAAAAAGAAUGAAAAUUAAAAAAUCGACAUGGUUUGGAUGUUUGGUUGUUGAUUUUAGAGAAUUUGGUGUUGAUUUGAUCAAAUUUUUCAAGUGGAUUGAGAUUUUUAUUACUAUUUUAUGGUAUUUUUCGAUGGUGGUAAUUGAAUUUUUCAAGUGGGUUGAAUUUUUCGGCAAAAAUUUAUCAAAAAAUCUGACAGGUGUGGCUAUGCGUGGGUGGACGGAGGAAGAUGGAGGUGUGGCAGUGUGGGGGUGGACGGGGGUGGAUGGUGUUUGUGUGCAGGUGGCGGUGGAUGGGAGGUGGUGUAAUACCCCAAAAAAUGCAAAUUAAUCUUAGCACCAUAUUUCAAGCUUAUGCAUAGUACAUCAUGGUUCUUUGGUAGUUUUAUGAUCAAGUUUGAUGUUAAUUAAGGUCUCAAAUACGUCCUAGCUAUUAGAUGAAUCAAAACAUUCCUUACCGAUUGAAUUCUUAGGAAGGAUAUUGGUAUAGUCAAAUUUAANNNNNNNNNNNNNNNNNNNNNNNNNNNNNNNNNNNNNNNNNNNNNNNNNNNNNNNNNNNNNNNNNNNNNNNNNNNNNNNNNNNNNNNNNNNNNNNNNNNNNNNNNNNNNNNNNNNNNNNNNNNNNNNNNNNNNNNNNNNNNNNNNNNNNNNNNNNNNNNNNNNNNNNNNNNNNNNNNNNNNNNNNNNNNNNNNNNNNNNNNNNNNNNNNNNNNNNNNNNNNNNNNNNNNNNNNNNNNNNNNNNNNNNNNNNNNNNNNNNNNNNNNNNNNNNNNNNNNNNNNNNNNNNNNNNNNNNNNNNNNNNNNNNNNNNNNNNNNNNNNNNNNNNNNNNNNNNNNNNNNNNNNNNNNNNNNNNNNNNNNNNNNNNNNNNNNNNNNNNNNNNNNNNNNNNNNNNNNNNNNNNNNNNNNNNNNNNNNNNNNNNNNNNNNNNNNNNNNNNNNNNNNNNNNNNNNNNNNNNNNNNNNNNNNNNNNNNNNNNNNNNNNNNNNNNNNNNNNUAUAUAUAUAAAUUGAUGGCUUGACAUGAAACACACGUAUACUUGACUAGUAUGUAUGAAAAAUGUGAAGUAUAUUACAAAUAUUGUUUGAACUUUUUGCCUUCACUAAAAGUCUCUACUUUGGUCAAAAUCAUAUUUUUCACUAUUUUUCUAAUACUUAAGAAUUGAAAAUUAAUCAAAUAUUUAUAGUAAAAUAUUUUCUUAUUAAAAUUCAUUAAAAUUAAUGACAACUAAUAUAUUUUUCAUUAGUUUAAGAAUUCUAAACCAACUAAAGUUGAUUUUAGAAAGAUUUGAAAAAUCUAGAAAUAAAUAGAAAAGCAUUAGAAUAAAAGAAAUAUAAGAAGUGCCAAAUUUUUAAAAGUUUUAAGUAAGUAAUCAAAGAUUUUCUAAGGAUUUAAUUUUAAAAAUAAGAAAAUGUUAUAUAUAUAUAUAUAUAUAUAAAAAUUUUAAAAAAUAAUCAUACUACAAAUAUGAUACAAAUCGAUGUGUCUCUCUUAGCCUCUAAUAGUAAGAAAAAGACGUAUUGUAUGACAAGCGCAAAAGUGACGAUUCAUUAACCACUUGAAAGUUUUAGUGGUAAAAUACACAUGUGCUUACCGUAAAAUAUAUGUUAUAUUUAUAUUGUUGUAUUAAAGUGCGAAAAUUUUUUAAAUAAUAACUUUUUAAAUUUAAUUAAAACCUUCACAAUAGAUAAAAUCGUUUAAUUUUAAAAAAUCAAAGGUUACACGUGCGAGACACAUGCGGUUAAAAUAGUUAGAAUAAAAAUAUAUUCAAAUUAAAAUAAAUUUAAUUAGUGAUGUAUUUUACUCUUACACUUUGAAAUUAUUUGUCAUAUUUUAAUCCGACACAAUUAUUAAGAAAAAAAUUAUUGAUGUAGUAACUUUAUCAUAUUAUUAUUAAUUGAUGUUUAAAGGAUGUUUGAAUUGACUUGUUUUUAAAUGUUUUGGCUUUUAAAUAUUUUUUUUAAUUUUUAAAGAUAUUUGGCAAAAAUAAAAAGUGCUUUUAAAUAUUUAACUUUAAACAAGUACAAAAAAAAAAAGUCAAAAGUGGCUGCUACCUAAUUUUGGCUUUUGACUUUUAGUUUUUGAUAAAUUUAUUUGAAUGAAAAAAAAUGACAUGUAUGACACUGUUUUUGUGAUAUUUUCGUAAUUAACUCAUCAACUAAGAGUGAGUUAGUAACUUCUCAAAUUUUUAUUACCCAAGAAACCUUCCAAACAAUAAAAUCACUUUAUCGAAACCACAAACUUCUCUCUCUCUCUUCUGCCAGCAAAAAAAAAACACUAUCCAAGAUUUUAAUCUCUGCCCAAUAAAUUUUUGCAUAAGAUUCUAUCUCACCCAACAAUAAUUUUGUGUGAGACCAUUCUAAUUUUUUGACAAGUGUUUUAAUGGGUCUUAUUUUGUCAGUCAAUCCUUACCCCUUCAUUUUUUCAAAUUCUUUUUUUUUGGUUGUUUUAUUUUUGGGGUGGUGGUGGUGGUGGUAAAUGUUCUCUUCAUUUUCUCUCCCGUGUCCCUUUUCUCUUCAGAUAUUUUAUAUUCGACUUCAACAUAAUUCAAACACUCAAAAUAAGUAAUUUUGAAUAUAAAGUAGGCUUUUAGAAUUAUAAAAAUAUAAAUUACUACCUCCGUCUUAAUUUGUAUGAGUUACUUUGACUUGACACGAAGUUUAAUAAAGAAAAAAAAAAUUUAAAAUUUGUGAUCUAAAAUAAGUGAUAGAUAUUUGUGUGGCUAUAAAUUAUUUUACUAAGAAAUAUAUUAAGAUUAAAAAAAUUAAUUAGUGAUGUACAUUACUCUUUCAUUUUGAAUUUAUUCAUCACUAUUAAUCUGACACAAUUAUUAAGAAAAUAAUUAUUGAUGUAAUGACUUUAUCAUAUUAUUAUUAAUUGAUGUUGAGAGGGUGUUUGAAUUGACUUAUUUUUAAAUAUUUUAGAUUUUUAAUAUUUUUCUUAUUUUUAAAGAUAUUUGGAAAAAAAUAAAGUGCUUUUAAAUAUUUAACUUUAAGCAAGUACAAAAAACAAAAAGCCAAAAAUGGUUGCUACCUAAUUUUGACUUUUAGUUUUUGAUAAAUUUAUUUGGCGUGAAGAAAAUGACACGAAAGACACUGUUUUUGCCUUAUUUUCGUAUUAACUCGUCAACUAAGGUGAAUUAGUAACUUCACAAAUUUUUAUUACCCAAGAUAUCCUCCAAACUUUAAAAUCACUUGUUAUCGAAACCACAAGCUACUUUUCUCUCUUUUCUUCCAGCAAAAAAAAAUACUGCCCAAGAUUUUGCUUUUUGCCUAAUAAAUUUUUGUAUAAAAUUUUACCUCACCCACCAAUAAUUGUGUGAGACCAUUAUAGUUUUUUGACAAGUGUUUUAAUGAGUCCUAUUUUAUUAGUCCACCCUUUUCCCUUCAUUUCUUCAAAUUCUUCUUUUUGGUUGUCACGUUAUAUUCUUUUUGUUUGUUAAAUGUUCUCUUCUUUUUGUCUCUAGUUCCCCUUCUCCUCUUCAAAUAUUUUAUAUUCGGCUUCAACAUAACUAAAGGACUUAAAACAGUUACGGUUUUUGCUCUAAUUUUCUUACAAAGUUUAAGUUUUGCCCUUUUUAAAAGAAAAAUAAAAGUAAUACCAUAAUUACUUUUAUUUUUUUUUGAAAGAAAAUUUUAAAAUUUUCAUAUUUGGUAAAAAUCUCUUUCUUGGAGGAAAGGUUUUGAAACUCUCUAAAUAGAAGACCCCCUUCUCAUACCAUAACCAAAUAGCAUCCACAACGUAGUUGUUUAAAAAUUUGGUUUAGGGGAUGAUUGAACCUUGUUGAGCAGGAAGUUUAUGUGUUCACCUUUUUGGAGUUUAUCAUAUCAUUCUGUUAAAUGUAACUAUUAAAUAUUUUUUUAGAAGCAUUCAUAUGGUGUUGUUCAUGGCUUUGUCGAAGUAUAAUACUCAGUUGAUAUCUUAGUUUUAAGAUUUAGAUACAAUACUCGUUUGACAUCUUAUAUGUUAGAUUGGAUUUUUAAAAAAAAAUUCUACUUUUAUCAUUACCUAAAGUUAUAAAUCGAAAAAAUCAAACAAAAUCGACAAGAACCAAAUUGACGGUUACUUUUUCAUUUGAUUUGGUUUUAGAAAUUUAAAAAACUAAGUUGGUUUGGUUUUGAUCAAUAACUAACCCAUGAACACCCCUACCUGCAGUAGGUACCCAACUUUCUCCACCGCCUCUACACUCCCUACUGAUUGUUGUUCCAGUUGUUGUUACUACUGCUGGAGUUGGUAGUAGGGUACUAGUAGUGGGUACCCAGCUGCCGCCGUCGCCCCCGCAGCAUUCACCACCGACUGCUGUUCCCGUUGCAGCUGCAGCUGAAGGAUAUCGUGAUAGGGUAGCUGCAUUAGAUACCUUGCCGCUGCCGCCCCCGCAACAUUCACCGCUGACUGCCGCUCCCCCUGUUUUUGGGGAUGGUAAUAGGGUACCUGCAUUGGGUACCCACCUUCGGCCGCUGCAUUCUCUGAUAAUUUUUUCAAUGUGUUCUCCAUUGCGCUUUUGACGAAUGGGAACAAAAAUGAGUUUAAAAAAUACAGAGAAUGAGAAAUGGUGUGUUGAGCUUCCGCUCAUACUCACUAUUUCUAACAAAUUGAAUUUAUACUUAGCGGAUAAACAGGGAGUGUGAGGUCCACCGUCAUCACUAAUGGACAAAACCUCAUUUCUCUGUAAGCGGUUGUGGAAUCUUGUGAGUAAAAAAAAUGCCUCAGCCACAUCCAUUUUUUGUGAUGAUAGAAAUCGGCAGCUUCUCAACAGCUAAAAUCAUGGAUUGAACUCAAAAGAAGGUUCAAUUCAACUGCGAUAAAGAGACGAUUCAAAUACAAUAACGUAAAUAUUGGGAACCAAAUAGUCUGUAAAGGCAAAAUAAUAGCUAAUAAGAUAAAUGUUGAACCGAAAGGCAUUAGCAUUUGAAAGCUUUGAGUAUAAAUGGUUUUAAUGAAAGUUUUAAAGUGGAGACGAUGAAAAUGAAAAUGGGUCGGAUGAAAAUGGAUGAGUUAGGUUGGUGUGCGUAUACGUAUGUAUGUUAGGUUGGGGUAGAAGAAUUAUAUUGUAAAAUUUUUUUAUUAUAAGAAGAAUAUAUUAAGAUUUAAAAAGAAAUAAUUAGUGAUGUAUUUUAUUCUUUCACUUUGAAUUUAUUUAUCAUAUUUUAAUCUGACAUAAUUAUUUAGUAAAUAAUUAUUUGUAUUGUGAAUUUGUCAUAUUAUUCCUAUUAAUUGAUAUUUAAAGGGUCUUUGAAUUAGUCUAUUUUAAAAUAUUUUGGUUUUUAAGUUUUUUUUUUUUUUUAAUGAUAUUUGGCAAAAACAGAAAGUGUUUUUACACAUUUAACAUUAAGCAAGUACAUACAAAUAAGAAAAAGCCAAAAGUGGUUGCUAUAUAGUUUUGGCUUUUAGUUUUAAGUAAAUUUAUUUGGCACGGAAAAAAAGACAUCUAUGACACUGUUUUUGUGGUAUUUUCAUAAUUAACCUGUCAACUAAGGGUGGAUUAGUAACUUCAUAAAUUUUUAUGACUCAAAGAUACCCUUUAAAUUUUAAAAUCACUUUACCGAAACAACAAACUACUCUCUCUCUCUCAUCUUCUUCUUCUUAUAAAAAAAAAUGUAUAUAUUCACGUAUACAUUAUUUAAGACUAGUUUUUUGACACGUGCUUUGCACGUAUAUGUCAAAUGCUGCAUUCUCUGAUGAUUUUUUCGAUGUGUUCUCCAUUGCGCUUUCGACGAAUGGACGACAAAAAUGAGGUUAACAAAACAGAGAGUGAGAAAUGGUGUUUUAAGCUUCCGCUAAUACUCACUAGUUCUAACAAAUUGAAUGUGUAUAUAUUAGCGGAUAAACAGGGAGGCUGAGGUCCACUAUCAUCACUAACAGACGGAACCUCAUUUGUUUGUAAGUGGUAGCCGGUGGAAUCGUUUGAGGGGAAAAUCGUCUUACACUCAUCGAUUUUUUUGUGCUAGUCGAAAAGGACAAACUUCUCAACAGCUAAAAAAACAUGAAUUGGAUUAAAAAACAGGUUCAAUUCAACCUGAUAAAAGAUAAUCGAAAUUCAAUAACGUAAAUGUUGAUAACCGAAUAGUCUAUAAAGGAAAAAUAACAACUAAUAAGAUAAAAUAUUGAACGGAAGGCAUUAGAAUUUGAAAGUUUUGAGUAUAAGAGGUUUUAAUGGAAGUUUUAAGAUGGAGAAGAUGGCAAUGAAAACAGGUCGGGAGAAAAUGGGUGAGUUGGGUUGGGUUGGGUGUGUAUACAUAUAUUUGUUGGGUUCGGUAGAAGAAUUAUAUUGGUGAAAAUUUUAAUCCAUCGAGUAUAUGUAUAAUUUAUACUCUCUCUCUCUCUCUCUCUCUCUCUCUCUCUCUCUAUAUAUAUAUAUAUAUAUAUAUAUAUAUAUAUAUAUAUUAUACUAUAUUAAAAGUGUGAAGACUUUUAUAAAAGUGAUUUGAACUUUUUACCCUUCACUAAAAGUUUCCGCAAUAGAUGAAAUUGUCUUUUCACUUAUAUCCUACAAUUAUUAUAUCAUUAUAUUUAUUAUAAAUAAAGAAAUCCUAAAUAUAUGGUAAGAAAAAAAUAUAUGGAAAUUUAUUAUUGUUGGAUUUUUUUUCUCUUUGUGUACUUGAGAAAGGAUUCCUAUAUACAAAAUAAGAGGGAAAAAAAAAGGAAAAUAAGAUGAUUUUUAUUAAUAUUAAAAUAAUAAAUUUAAUAGCAGCCUUUUUUAUAAAUUAAAACAAGAGAAAUAACUAAAGAACACGAUUUUUUUUGCUUCAAAUUUUGGUAGUAUUAGACAUCUAUUUUUUUUACAAAAUAAAAAGAAGUAUUAUUUUAAUAGUAUAUUAUUGUUCGGACGUGCAGGACAUCUGCUAUAUUAGGGAAUCUUUAUUAUUUUUAUAUUAUAUUAUUAUUAAAAAAAAUUAUGAGUGCACCCCGGAUGAAAAGCUUUCAUAUUUAGUUAAUCCUUUUUGGAUGAUGGUGGACUUCUACAAAUUGAGGACUCUUUCUUUCUAAAAUAAUAUAAAAGUAUUUACAAGGUAAAUAUUGGUGGAACAAAUAUUUUUAUAACUAGUUUUUCGAUGAGCUCUAAUGAUGUUGUCUAAUAAUCACAAAAGGUCAGACUUUGUUGUAUUGUUCUAAGAUUUUAAUUAUCAAUUGUUUUAUUGUAGUUUCUAUUCUAUUCAAGUUUAUUGUGUAGAUGGAUGUUUUGUCACAUCUUUGAAGAAUUUUUUGUGUUACGAUUACGUUUAAUCGUAUUGUUCUGAGCUCUCGAUCGUUGUAUAAUACACGUGGUAGAUGAACGUUCAGUCGGAUUUUGAGGAACUUUUUUACAAAGGUUACGGUUUAAUCGACUCAUUCAAUAUGUCAAGUAUCGUAUUAUUUUAUUGUAGUUUGCAGAUGGUAGAUUAAUGUUCAGUCGAGCUUUGAGAAAUUCUCAUGUAAAGGUUAGUUAAUCAUAUUACAGUAUAUUAUUUUUGUUAUCAUUCGUUAUCUAAUAGUUUAUGUCGUAGUAGACGAUCAAAAUACCAAUAUUUCAAGCAUGCCUCGAAGCAUAAAGUUGUCUAUCUUAAAUUUUUAAAGUCAAUAUAUAUAUAUAUAUAUAUACUAGUCAAGUAUACAUGUGUUGCACGCGUGUUUCAUGUUAAGCCCACGCGUGCAACACACGUAUACUUGACUAGUAUAUAUAAAAAAUGUCAUUCGUUAUCUAAUAGUUUAUGUCGUAGUAGACGAUCAAAAUACCAAUAUUUCAAGCAUGCCUCGAAGCAUAAAGUUGUCUAUCUUAAAUUUUUAAAGUCAAUAUAUAUAUAUAUAUAUACUAGUCAAGUAUACAUGUGUUGCACGCGUGUUUCAUGUUAAGCCCACGCGUGCAACACACGUAUACUUGACUAGUAUAUAUAAAAAAUGUGAAGGAUAUUACAACUAUUGUUUGAAUUUUUUGCCCUUCACUAAAAAUCUCUACUUUAGACAAAAUCAUAUUUAUCACUAUUUUUCUAAUACUGAAGAAUUGAAAGUUAAUCUAAUAUCUAUAGUAAAAUACUUCCUUGGAUAGCCCCGCCGCCGCUACCCCCGUAGCAUUCACCGCCGAUUGCUGCUCCUCCGGCUGUUGGAGAUGGUAAUGGAGUACCUGCAUUGGGUAUUCUCCUCCAACCGCUGCAUUCUCCGAUGACUUUUUUGAUGUGUUCUCCAUUGAGCUUUCGAUGAAUGGUGACAAAAUCGAGGUUAACAAACACAGAGAGUGAGAAAUAGGUGUGUUGAGCUUCCGCUCAUACUCACUAUUUGUAACAAACUCCAUUUGUACAUAUUAGCGAAUAAACGUGGGAGUGACAGGUCCACCAUCCUUAGUAGCGGACGGAACCUCAUUUCUUUGUAAGCGGUAGUCGGUGGAAUCAUCUGAGUAAAAAAAUGCCUCAGCCACGUCCAUUUUUUUGUGAUGGUCGAAAACGACAACUUCUCAACAGCCAAAAUCAUGAAUUGAACUCAAAAGUAGGUUCAAUUCAACUGUGAUAAAGAGAUGAUCCAACUACAAUAACAUAAAUGUUGAUAACCGAAUAGUCUGUAAAGGCAAAAUAACAGCUAAUAAUAUAAAAUGUUGAACGAAAGACAUUAGCAUUUGAAAGUUUUGAGUGUAAGUGGUUUUAAUGGAAGUUUUAAGGUGGAGACGAUUACAAUGAAAACGGGUCAGGUGAAAAUGAGUGAGUUGGGUUGGUGUGUGUAUACGUAUGUAUGUUGGGUUGGGGUAGAAGAAUUAUAUUGUAAUUUUUUUUAUUAGAAUAAAAAUAUAUUAUGAUUUAAAAAGAUAUAAUUAGUGAUGUGUUUUAUUCUUUCACUUUGAAUUUAUUUAUCAUAGUUUAAUCUGACAUAAUUAUUUAGUAAAUAAUUAUUUGUAUUAUGAAUUUGUCAUAUUAUUCCUAUUAAUUGAUGUUUAAAGGGUGUUUGAAUUAGUUUAUUUUAAAAUAUUUUGAUUUUUAAGUAUUUUUUUAUUUUUAAAGAUAUUUGUCAAAAACAAAAAGUGUUUUUACAAAUUUAACAUUAAGCAAGUACAUACAAAAAAGAAAAAGCCAAAAGUGGUUGCUAUAUAGUUUAGGCUUUUAGUUUUCAGUAAAUUUAUUUGGCAUGAAAAAAAGACAUCUAUGACACUGUUUUUGUGGUAUUUUCAUAAUUAACUUGUCAACUAAGGGUGGAUUAGUAACUUCAUAAAUUUUUAUGACUCAAAGAUACCCUUUAAAUUUUAAAAUCACUUUACCGAAACAACAAACUACUCUCUUCUCUUCCCCCCCNNNNNNNNNNNNNNCCCCCUCUUCCCCCCCCAAAAAACGUAAAUAUUAUUUAAGACUAGUUUUUUGACACGUGCUGUGCACGUAUAUGUCAAAUGCUGUAUUCUCCGAUGAUUUUUUCGAAGUGUUCUCCAUUGCGCCUUCGAUGAAUGGGCGACAAAAACGAGGUUAACAAUACAGAGAGUGAGAAAUGGUGUGUUGAGCUUCCACUCAUACUCACUAUUUCUGACAAAUUGAAUUUGUACAUAUUAGCGGAUUAAUGGGGGAGUGAGGUCCACCAUCAUCACUAACGGACGAAACCUCAUUUCUCUGUAAGCAGUAGCCAGUGGAAUCAUUUGAGGGGAAAAUCGUCUUACACUCAUCCAAUUUUUUGUGCUAGUCGAAAAGGACAAACUUCUCAGCAACUAAAAAAACAUGAAUUGGACUAAAAAACAAGUUCAAUUCAACCUGAUAAAGAGACGAUCCAAAUUCAAUAACGUAAAUGUUGAUCGCCGAAUAGUCUAUAAAGGCAAAAUAACAACGAAUAAGAUAAAAUGUUGAACGAAAGGUAUUAGCAUUUGAAAGUUUUGAGUGUAAGAGGUUUUAGUGGAAGUUUUAAGAUGGAGAAGAUGACAAUGAAAACAGGUCGGGAGAAAAUGGGUGGGUUGGGUUGGGGGUGUAUACAUAUGUGUGUUGGGUUCGGUAGAAGAAUUAUAUUGGUGAAAAUUUUAAUCCAUAGAGUACAUGUAUAAUUUAUACUCUCUCUCUCUCUCUAUGUCUCUCUCUCUCUCUCUCUCUCUAUAUAUAUAUAUAUAUAUAUAUAUAUAUAUAUAUUAUUAUUAUUAUUAAAGUGUGAAGUUCCUUAGAAAAGCGAUUUAAACUUUUUACCCUUCAUCAAAAGUCUCCGCAAUAGAUGAAAUUGUCUUUUCACUUAUACCCUACAAUUAUUAUAUCAUUAUAUUUAUAAUAAAUAAAGAAAUCCUAAAUAUAUGGUAAGAAAAAAAUAUAUGGAAAUCUAUUAUUGAUGGAUUUUUUUUCAUCUUUGUGUACUUGAGAAAGGAUUUCUAUAUACUAAAUAAGAGGGGAAAAAAGGUAAAUAAGAUGAUUUUUAUUAAUAUUAAAAUAACAAAUUUAAUAGCAGCCUUUUUUUAUAAAUUAAAACAAGAAAAGUAACUAAAGCACGCGAUUUUUUUGCUUCAAAUUUUGAUAGUAUUAGACAUCUAUUUUUUUUACAAAAUAAAAAGAAAUAUAAUUUUAAUAGUAUAUUAUUGGUCGGACGUGCAGGACACCAGCUAUAUUAGGGAAUCUUUAUUAUUUUUAUAUUAUAUUAUUAUUAGAAAUUUUUUAUGAGUGCACCCUGGAUGAAAAACUUUCCUAUUUAGUUAGUCCUUUUUGGACGAUGGUUUGGACUUAUAGUUAAUUCUUUUUAUAACUAGUUUUUUCGAUGAGUUUUAAAGAUAUUGUCUAAUAAUCACAAAAGGUCAGACUUUGUUAUAUUGUUCUAAUAUUUUAAUUAUCAAUUGUUUUGUUAUAAUUUCUAUUCUAUUCAAGUUUAUUGUGUAGAUGGAUAUUUCGUCACAUCUUUGAAGAAUUUUUUAUGUUAUGAUUAAAUUUAAUCUUUUAAAAAAGGAUAGUGGUUUAAUUUUUUGUGUCACAUCUUUUAAAAAGAAGUGCUAUGAAAAGAGAAACUAGAAGCAGUAAAAAAAGCAUCGUGGUUAAUGAAAGAAUGAAAUUGAAAAAAAAAUUAAAUGAUGACAAAUACUUGAAUAAAUACUUACUUACAGGUGCAAUCUCAAAGUCACACUGUAAGGAAUUAAUCAACUUUUUAAUUGAUUGACAUUAAUAAAUUUUAAAUUCUUGGCAAUGAAAAAAUCAAAAUUAAAAUUGCAAGUUCUUGCUUCCAUGGUAGAGGAAGAGGAGAAGGAAAAAAAUUAAAAUUAAAAUAAUAUGUGACUUGGUUUUGACGCGACAAUGAUGUGGCACUGACAGGGCACGUGUGUAAUACAUUUUUCAUAGUAAAUGGUAUUAUAUUUUAUGGGUGGUGUUUUAAUAUACCUUAAAAUUGUUUAGAGGGAUAUUUACAUGCAGGUUAAGUUAAAGUGCUAAAAUAAUUUUCGGUGACAAGUUCAGGGUAAGGGGUUGGGGAGGGGUAGGGGAGGGGGCGGGCGGUCACGCAUUUUCAUAGAGAAAUAUGUGUCAUAUAUCAAAAAGGUAUGUCAAGAAAUAAAUAUAAUUUUUUUAAAAAAAGAUACAUGGAUAAAUAGAAUUUUUUUUCUUUUUUUAAUUUCUCAUUCAGAUCUGAUGUCCGCAUUUGAGUACAAUUAAAUUUGAAUAUGCGUUGAAAAGUUCUACAUUAAGAGAUAAAACGCUCCAUAACAAAAAUCACUUCGUACACAAAGAAUGAAUUGUUUACUAUUUUUUAAAUAGAAGUGAUCAACAAAAUAGCUUCUCUAAAAAUGACUAUUUUUCAUUGUUUUUGGCCAAAAUUACUUGCAUCGACAUUCAUAUUUACUAAAUUAAAAUUAAUAAUGUCCUCUUUUUGUGGUUUGACAUAAAAUCACUUUUAAAAAAUAUUAGCCAAGAACAAAUUACUGACAUAAAUUAAUUCAAACAAUUUAGUGAAGCAUCAAUCACUAAUUCCUUUCUUAAAAAAUUUUCAUAAGUUAAUUUAAUUGUAUGGCAAAAGAAAUAAUUUAAUCAAAGCAUCAACCACUUACUUUCUUAAAAUAUUUUUUAUAAGUUAAUAUAAUUAUCUGGCAAAAUAAGUUACUAAGAUGUAUCGAACAUAUGAAACUUCUCCUGAUUUUUGUUUUCAAAUCUGUCCUUAGGAAUGACAGGAUCAAGUUGAAAAAAAAUUUCAAAAUUUUGAAUCUUUCUUAAAUAACUUGACUUUCUAUAUAAUCAUCAAUUGAUGUGGUGUAGUGGAUAGAGUUGCUCCUCCCUUAUUUAGAGGUCUUAAUUGUAAAUUCUAUAAAUAAACAAGGUCUUUGGUAGAAAGUGUUUUCCUCGAAUGACCUUUGUGUGGUGCAAAUCGAAUUAAUCUGACUCCAAUGCGAAUAUUAAACAUUAGAUAAAAAAUCAAAAAGAAAAUCGUCUCCUAUAUUUAUUACAACCAUACCAAUUAACAUGUUACUUGAAGAGAAUAAUAUUUUUUAGUUUGUUUAGAAAACAUACAAUUUCAUAUAAAAACAGACAAAAGAUUAUUACUAAAGAAAUAGGGGAUUGAGGUCCACUUCAAUAACAGACAAAAGGUUAUUGUUUGUAUUGAAGAGGUACGUAGACUCAUCUGAGAAAAAAAGAAUUUCAUCUUCAUCCAAAUUAACUUUAAAUUUUUGCACAACAAUCAUGUUUUUCUUAGCAUUUCAAUAAAAAAUUAAUGAAUCAGACUAAAAUAUCGGUUCAAUUCAACUGUAAUCGACAAAUGCAAGUAACCAAAAAAUCUAUAAAGACUAAACAUAGCUAAAAAAGUUAAAACAAGAAUUAUAACGCAUUCGCAUUCAAAAUGUUUGAAUGAGAGAGGUUUUAAGAAAACCUUUUGCAAAAAGAUGAUUGUGCAAGUGAAAUCGGGUUAGAGAAAAUGAGUGAGUUGGUUGGAUAAAAAUGAGUGAGUUGUGUUUGGGUUGUGUAAAAUUAUAUUGGAGAAAAUUUUCAUUUUAAUUAGGAAAAAAUCUAUUCAUGUAUAUGUUAUUUAAGAGUAAUUUUUGACACGUGCUUUGCACGUGUAUGUCAAAUCAUUUAAUAUUUAAUUUUAUAAAUAAUUUUAGUUCAUUUCUUGUUUCCACUGAAGGAGAUGGUAUUGGGUACCCGAAUUGGAACCUUGCCGCUGCCACAACUGCAUUUUCUGCCAAUUGAUGUUCCUGCCGCUGUUGUUGUUGGAGAUGAUAGUAGGGUACCUACAUUGGGUACCCACCUUCUGCUGCUGCGUUCUCCGUUGAUUGUUGCGAUUUAUUCUCCAUUAUUCUUUAGAUGAAUGACCAUAAUUUUUAUGUUAUAAUCGAAUAGACAGUAAAAACCAAAUAACAACUAAUAAAUAAAAUGUUGAACCGAAAGAAAUUAGGCUAACAUUCUUGUUUUUGUUAGCAUUUCAAUAAAAAAAAUAAUGAAUCAGACAAGAAUAUAGGUUUAAUUCAACUGUAAUCGACAAAUAAAAGUAACUAACCAGUCUCUAUAGACUAUAACAAAGUUAAAAAAAGUUAAACCUUAAAUUAUAAUGCGUUAGUAUUCAGAAAGUCUGAACGCAAGAUGUUCUGUAAAAACCUUUGAAAAAAAAAUGAUUGUGAAAGUGAAAUCUGGUUAUAGUAAAAAUGAGUGAGUUGAGUUAGAUAUGUGUGUGUGUUGGGUUGUGUAGAAUUAUAUUGAAGAAAAUUUUAAUUAGAAAAAAUAUAUUCAUGUAUAUGUUAUUUAAAAUUAGUUUUUUGACACUUGCUUUGCACGUAUAUGGCAAAUCAUGUAAUAUAGAAUUUUAUAAAUAAUUAUAGUUCAUUUGUUGUUGCAGCUGAAGGAGAUGGUAAUAGGGUACCCACAUUGUUACCCUAUAGCUGCCGCAGCUGUAUUCCUCGCCAAUUGAUGUUUCUGUUGCUGCUGCUGUUGGAGAUGAUAGUAGGGUACCUUCAUUGGGUAUCCGCGUCCUAUUGUUGCAUUCUCCGCUGAUUGUUGCGAUUUAUUCUCCAUUAUGUUUUUAAAUGAAGGGCAAUAAUUUCUAUGCUAACAAAUAAACACGGAGAGACAAAUGAAAGAAGAGUAAUUUACUUGUGUUGUGCGAGUAAUUUACUUGUGUUGUGCUCUCUUACUUGUGUGCACCCACUAUUUUUACCAAUUAAAGAUGUACUUUAACCAGAUAAACAAGGGGAGUGAGGACCACCACAUUAGUAACAAACGAAACCUUAUUUGUUUGAUCGAGUUGAUAGCUGGUGGAAUCAUCUGAGGAAAAAAAGCCUCACCGUCAUCCAAUUUUUUGUGUUGCUCGAAAAGAACAACAUCUCACAACCAAAAAAAAUUAUGAUUUAAACUCGAAAGAGGUUCAAUUAAACUGUGAUAAAGAGACAAUUCAAAUUCUAUAAAGUUAAAAUACAAAUAAUUGAAUAGGUUGUAAAGAAAACAUAACAACUAUUAAACAAAGCGUUGAACCGAAGGAAAUUAGCACAACAAUCAUGUUUCUAUUAGCAUUUCAAUAAAAAUUUAAUGAAUCAGACAUGAAUAUGGAUUCAAUUCAACUGUAAUCAACACAUACAAGUAACCAAACAAUCUCCAAAGACUAAUACAUAGCUUACAAAGUUAAACUUUGAAUUAUAACGCAUUAGCAUUUAGAAAGUUUGAAAGCAAGAGGUUUUAAUAAAACCUUCGAAAAAAAAUGAUUGUCAAAGUGAAAUCGAAUCAAAGUAAAAAUGAGUGAGUUGGGUUGAAUAUAUGUGUGUGUGUUGGGUUGUGUAGAAUUAUAUUGGAGAAAUAAUUAAUUUUAAUAAGAUAAAAAUAUUCAGUAACAGACGAGACUUCAUUUCUGUGAUCGAGGUGGUAGCUGGUGGAAUUAUCUGAGGAAAAAAUGCCUCACCCUCAUUCAAUUUUUUGUGUUGCUCGAAAAGAACAACUUGUCAACAACCAAAAAUAUUAUGAAUUGAACUCAUAAAGAAGUUCACGUAUAUGUUAUUUAAGACCAGUUUUUUGACGCGUGCUUUACACGUGCAUGUCACAUCAUGUAAUAUAUACUUUUAUAAAUAAUUUUACCUCAUUUGUUUUAACUGCUGAAGGAGAUGGUAAUAGGGUACCCACAUUGGUACACUCGCCGCUGCAGCCGUUGUAUUCUCUAUCAAUUGAUAUUCUCUUAUUUGCUACUGUUGGAAAUGGUAGUACAGUACCUGCAUUGGGUAUCUCGCCGCCACCGUCUUUGCUGCAUUCAAAACAUUCUCUACCGAUCAUUUCGAUUUAUUAUCCAUUGUACUUGGGGGAUAAUUUCUAUGUUUGCAACUACAGAGUGAGAAAAUGGAAGAAGAGUAGCCUAGUUGUGUUGUACGCUCUUACUAUUUGUACAAACUAAAUUUGUACUUAUUAUCAUAUAAACAGAGGGAGUAAGGCCACCACAUCAGUAACGGACGAAACCUCAUUUCUAGUCCGUAACCUCAUUUCUCUAUAAGUGGUAGCCGGUGAUUAACUCUUUUUUUGUUGAUAAAUUACUUUUUUUCUUUUCCUUUAUUGGGUUAAUUUUUAUUUACUAUUUUCUUUAUUAUUAUUAUUACUAUUUUUCUUUUCUUCAAUUAUUUUUUUCUCGUGUUACAUACUACAUAACUUGAAUUUUUUUUUUUUGUUUUGUUUUUAUUUCCUCCUAAUUUUUAUUUGUAAGUGAAUUAAAAAAAUUCUGUCACUCAACCAUGUUAGUAAUUUAUAUUUUUUAAUUAUAUUCUCUUUUCUGUUAGAGUAAGAAAAAUUAGAUAUUGAAAAUUUGAAAUUGAAUCUCAUAAAUAAUAAAUUUGUCUUUUGUGAGUCUAUAUGAUAUUGUUUAUUAUGAUUUAAUAUUAGCAUUAAAGAGAUUUCUAAUACUUAGAAAUUAAAGAAUCAUCAUAUUCUUUUUAUUAUUAAUGGCAUCUCUUAUAUUACAAAAUUUAAAGCUAGUAGAGUCAAGAAAUGAAUCAAAUUUAAAUGGAUUGGAUUCUAAAUAAAUCUUAAUAUUGAUUUUAAUUUUUUUGAUAUCCUUUUCCUUAAAUUUUAGAGUUGCUCCAUCAUUAAAUAGACACCAAAAUAAAAACUAAAAUAUCUUUUAAUUGAUCAUAAACUAAAAAUAUGUAAAAUAUAUUAAAAUAUUCUUUACUUUUUGUAAUUUUAAACAUGUCAUGUGAUAAGUUAAAAUUAAAAUUUUUCAGAAAAUGAAAAUACAUUUUUUCAAAUGGACUUGUAAAAAAGUGACACAAAUAAAAUAAAACAAAAAAUGUACUAUAUAAAUUUUAUUUGGUUACAAAUAUCUACAAAUAAGAACUUAGGAGGAAAAAAGCCCAUCAAUUUGAUCAGUUUCAUGAUCACGAAAAAGAUUGAAAAGAAAAAGUAAAAAAAAAGUAUUCACAUAUAUGUUAUUUAAGACUAUUUUUUUGACACGUGCAAAGCACGUGUAUGCCAAAUCAUUUAAUAUAUAAUUUUAUAAUUAACUUUAGUUCAUUUAUUGUUGGCACUGAAGAAGAUGGUAAUAGGGUACCCACAUUGGUACCCCUAUCCCUGCCACAACUGCAUUCUCCACCAAUUGAUGUUCCCAAUGGUUGUUGGAAAUGGUAGUAAGGCACCUACAUUGGGUACCCACCUCCCCCUAUUGCAUUCUUAGUCGAUUAUUGUGAUUUAUUCUCCAUUAUACUUUAGACGAAGGACGAUAAUUUCUAUGUUAACAAACACAAACAGAGAGAAAUGGUCGAAGAGUAAUCUACUUGUGUUGUGCUUUUUUACUUGUGCAAUUUUUGUGCGCACUCACUAUUUUUAUUAACUAAAUUUAUUCUUAUUACUGGAUAAACGCGGGAGGGGGGGGGAGGUGAGGUCCACCACAUUAGGAAUUAGUAACAGACAAAACUUCAUUUCUAUUUCUUUGAUCGAGGCGAUAGCUGGUGGAAUCAUCUGAGAAAAAAGCGCCUCACCCUCAUUCAAUUUUUUGUAUUGCUCGUAAAGAACAACACUUCUCAACAGCCAAAAAAAAAUCAUGAAUUGAACUCAAAAGAGGUUCAAUUCAAUUGUGAUAAGAGAUGAUCCAAAUUCUAUAAAGUUAAAUACAGAUAAUCGAAUAAACUGCAAAGGCUAAAUAACAACUAAUAAAUUAAAUGUUGAACAGAAAGGAAUUAGCACAUCAAUCAUGUUUUUGUUAGCAUUUUAAUAAAAAUUAAUGAAUUGAACAAUAAUAUAGGUUCAAUUCAACUGUAAUCGACAAAUGAAAGUAACCAAACAAUCUCUAAUGACUAAAACAUAGCUAAAAAGUUAAAACCUUGAAUUAUAACACAUUCAGAAAGUUUGGAUGGAGGAGGCUUGAUGAAAACCUUUGAAAAAAAAUGAUUGUGAAAGUAAAACCCUGUUAGAGUAAAAAUGGAUGAGUUGAGUUGAAUAUAUAUAUAUAUAUAUAUAUAUAUAUAUAUAUAUAUAUUGUGUUGUGUAGAACUAUAUUGGAGAAAAAAUUUAUUUUAAUUAGAAAAAAUAUAUUCACGUAUAUGUUAUUUAAAACUAGUUUUUUGGCACGAGCUACGCACGUGUAUGACAAAUCAUGUAAUAUAUAAUUUUAUAAAUAAUUUUAGUUCAUUUGUUGUUGCCGCUGAAGAUGGUAAUAGGGUACUCACAUUCAUACCAUGACACAACUACAUUCUCCGCAAUUGAUGUUCCUGUUGCUGCUGGAGAUGGUAGUAGGGUACCUGCAUUGAGUACCCAUUUCUCGUUGUUGCAUUCUCCGUCGAUUGUUGCGAUUAAAUUACAAUUUUCCCUUUUUAGUAUGAAUUAUGAUUAAAAGUACAUCUUAAAAUGCUGGUCAAAGCUUGUAUUAUUUGACUUUAAAAAGAAAAAUUAUUCCAACUAAAAAAGAACGAAGAAAAUAUUUGUUUGAAAAACACGCAAUUCCAUAUAAAAUAAAAACACUAGUUGCAUUCAAAGAUAAUACCAAAAUAGGUCAUGUUUUUAAAGUGAUACCAGAAUAUGCUUAACUCUCUUAAAAAGAGAAUUAUAUGUAUUAUUUUUAACGGAAAUGAGCAAAUGGAGUUAAGUUUCAGAAAAUAUACAUAACUCACUUAAUAAGUGAGUUAUGCAUUUUUUUUAACAUCUCUUUUUUUUUUACAUAACUCUCUACUAAAGAGAGAGUAAUGCGUUUUAAGUCACACAACUCGUUUAAAAAGAGAGUUAUGCAUUAUUUUCUAUACAUUUUUUUCUACAUGACUUACUUAAAAAGUGAGUUAUAUAAUAAAAGUUACACAAUUUGCUUUUUUCCUCUACGUAAAUAUAAUAAAAUUUAUAUCACUCACUUUAUACAAAAUUAUGUGAACAAUUAAUUUAUCUUCUAAAGUUUUAUUUUUUAAAAAGAAGAUUAACUAUUACGAAACGGAGAGAGCAAAACUCACUGAUUAUGUGAGUUAUUCAAAUAUAAAAUAAGUUAAAAAAAUGAGUUAUCCAUUGAAUAUAGCUUUUAAAAUACGCGUGAUAAGUGCAUAACUUUAUUAGUGAUAUGAAAUAUGAAUAUGGUGCGAAAAAUAUAUGAGUUGUGCAAAAAGUUGAUAUGUUCAUAAAAAACGUUUGUCAGUCAUAAAAGUACUACUAGAAAAAAUGUAAAAUUCACAAAAAAUGAGUUAUCCUUCUUAUUUCUAUAAAACACUGUUUUUAAUUAUUUUAAACUUCGCGCAAAACGUAAGAAUUUGUUACGUUUUAUAUAUUUUUUUGAUAAAACGUAAGAAAUUAUUACGUUUUACAAAUAAAUAUNNNNNNNNNNNNNNNNNNNNNNNNNNNNNNNNNNNNNNNNNNNNNNNNNNNNNNNNNNNNNNNNNNNNNNNNNNNNNNNNNNNNNNNNNNNNNNNNNNNNNNNNNNNNNNNNNNNNNNNNNNNNNNNNNNNNNNNNNNNNNNNNNNNNNNNNNNNNNNNNNNNNNNNNNNNNNNNNNNNNNNNNNNNNNNNNNNNNNNNNNNNNNNNNNNNNNNNNNNNNNNNNNNNNNNNNNNNNNNNNNNNNNNNNNNNNNNNNNNNNNNNNNNNNNNNNNNNNNNNNNNNNNNNNNNNNNNNNNNNNNNNNNNNNNNNNNNNNNNNNNNNNNNNNNNNNNNNNNNNNNNNNNNNNNNNNNNNNNNNNNNNNNNNNNNNNNNNNNNNNNNNNNNNNNNNNNNNNNNNNNNNNNNNNNNNNNNNNNNNNNNNNNNNNNNNNNNNNNNNNNNNNNNNNNNNNNNNNNNNNNNNNNNNNNNNNNNNNNNNNNNNNNNNNNNNNNNNNNNNNNNNNNNNNNNNNNNNNNNNNNNNNNNNNNNNNNNNNNNNNNNNNNNNNNNNNNNNNNNNNNNNNNNNNNNNNNUUUUAGUACCCAAUUAGAAUACCUUCAAACAACAACAAUCUUAGCGAAGCUCCAAUAAUAUUGAACCGCUGGACUCACUGAAAGGUUCCAUUAUAGCAAGAAAUUUGCACCUACAGAAAAGAGCAACUGCAUUCAAAAUCAGAGACGCAUACCCUUGCAUCCAUAACAGAACAGAUCAUACCUGGGUAGAAUCCCCAUAGGAGAGAGUACCUGGCUAAGAACCACCGUAGGAGAGCAAUAGUAAGAUUGGUAGAUGAAGUAGCAUGUCCAAACCACUGCUCCAGUGCAUUGCUCGAAUUUCCAGAACGCAUCACUUUCCCAAAUCAUAACAAGAGAAAAUAUUAACUAAAUGUACCUGACAGAAAAAGAAACUCAAAUGCAAUCAAGCCGUGUCAAAAUUCAUUAGCUUCACCAAUCACGUCUGUAGCUACCAAGCAAAACAGAAAUAAUCACAAAUCAUUUUCCAUGACAGACCCCAAAAAGAACUCCAAAUGUGAUCGAGCGGGCUAAAUUCCAUACCUUCACCAACCAUAUCUACAAUUAUUAAGUAGAAGAGAAAUAAUCACAGCAUUUUAUGAACUUUUCAACACCUGAACUCAUGCUUGAGUACCCAAAAGAUUCCACUAAACCAAUUGAUCCAAUUGCAAAAGGGGAACUUAUAUCCCACAAUGAAGAGGAAAUAUCACAUCACGAACCCCAAGAAGGAAGACAUAAUAAACAAGAUGCUGAAGGAAAAUAAAAAUGUUGAGCUAAAAACCACAACCAGGUCAAUGAAAGACGACAAGAAUUUUCCCUGUUAGUACUCCCCGUUGCCAUCUUUAAAUUGACAUCCUAAGUCAGACCAACAGACGAAACUUCUAAAUUGUUCCUUUUAAAAAUCAACAUAUAACUUUUCUGAGAGCUUAUAACUAGAGGUGCAUUAUCCACACCCAAUAAUAACAUCAAUUAACUUUUCAUGUGUUCUACUCCUGAAUCGUAAUUUAAAUCAAUCUGAGAGUGAUAGAUAAAGGAUCACAGGAAAAAGUAACAGUACCACAAUCUCACGGAUUAAAGCAGCUCUUAGACAUUAGCAAUCCCCAGUAGUCCCCAACAACUUUAUACCUGGAAUCAAAGUAACAGCACUGAACAAAUGUGUUAUUUUGAGCACCUCGACAAAAUAACAGCAGCUCAUACUUUUGUGGGAACAAAAGAAAAAAGGAAACCAUCUUAACAUAUAGAUUCCGGCAACUGCAAGCAGAGAAAGCAAGGAUUAGUAAUGCGUGCAAAGAUCAGAGGAAUUCUAUCUAACCACAAAUAAAUUGAUCAGAUUCAGACAUGAAGAGCAAGACAGAGAGGAGUUGGGGGGCGGAGGGAGGAAUAACUAUCCCAUUCUAGAAGCUGACUUCUGGAGCACCAAAAUAUAUCUCUUGCAAGAAGUAUGAUUCAAUACCUGACAUUUUUUGCUUUGAAUUUUACAAGAAGUUAUGCUAACUAGUUGACCAAGUAGAAUAUUCAAAGCUGUCUCACUGGAGUGUGCAGCUUGCCUAGAUGUAAUAGCAUAGGGCUGCAUACUAUUUGCACCUAUCUUCUUAAAAACAUGAUCCUGAUAAAUGCUUACUCUAACUCCAAGGCCAGAAUAACCAGUUUGUACUGAAUUUGAAGCUGUAGGAAGCUUCACACUUGAAGCAGAAGAUAUUAGCGGUAGGAUAGUUUAUACCCGCUGCUUCUGGUGGAAGACGAUGGAAAAGAUGAAGCUUGACUUUCUAAGGGCGCAUAUUCACAUAAAUUCUAUGGAGAAGAACGGUCUUUUGACUAUUCAAACCCUAGAAAACAAACAUUACAAAAACAAAAAACUUGAAAAAUGAAAAUAAUCCCAUAAAAGAAAAAAGUGUACUAGUAUACAAAGUAACGACGACUUGAAAAAAGAAAGGCAAGCCAGAUUAAGUGUGAAACUAUAAGUUUUAUUGCAUUUUUCACGGAUAAUAUGAAUUAAUGCACUUUCCGGUUUCCGUGAACACCAGAAAAGUACAAAAGAAGGAACCCAUGAAAGAUUCUGAACUUCACGGAAACUAAACCUAACUAGAAAUAAGAAAAAGGUAUGGCUAUAACAGAGGGGAACUUACAACAAUGUCUAUCAUUAUAUUGUUCGAUCCAUUGAAUUAACUGUAUUAAAACUUCUAAAUCUAACCAUGGUACUAUUCCUUCUAAAUGAAAUAAUUGCAAAUCACCUUCCAAAUCUAACCAUGUUUGUCCAAUUUCUAUCCUUCCCAAAAAAAGAAGCUCCAUUUUCUUAUUUCCAAGAAAAACAGAUGAGUUUCAUCAAUAAGCCAAAUUUAAAGGACUAAGGACAAACGGAAGAAAGAAUGGACAUGCUUUCUUAGCUUGUCUAUGAAUAGCAUAAGCUUCUUAUUCAGAAACAUAAGAAACUUCUCAACAAUCUUCCUGUUGGAUGGAAAAGAAAAAUUGAACGUCGUGCAACAUGUGGAAUAUUUAGGAAGCCAAAAACAAAACCAAAUUGAUGGAGAAGUUGAAAUUAACAUUUUCGGUACAACAGGACAUAGUAAUGACAAGAUCAGGACACUUGCUCCAGACACAAAAUAAAUGCAUCCUCAUUUCUGAACCUUUUCUCCAAUCACGUGCCGAAAUCUAUAGGAAACUGGUCAGGCAAUAAUGGGCAAGCGACAAGCUGAAAUACCAAUCUUUUGAAACCUAAAUUACAGUGGCACGAAAAGCAAUUCUCACCAUCAUUCAAGUUUUCUGAGCACAUAUAUAGUAACUGAAUCCCCACUUUGUGGGAAUACACUGGGUUUGUUGUUGUUGUAUAUAUACUAACUGAAUAUGUUAUGAAACCUCAGAUGCAUCUCUUCAUUGUCAUUUCAUGCUUGAAGUACCAUUUGUACAAAUAAGUUAAUUUAUACAUAUUACUCAUGUGAUCUAUUUUUCAGACCCUAAAAAAAAACUCAAGCCAAACUUUUUACGGUUGGCUAUAUGAUUCUUUUUAUCAAUUAUUUUCUAUGAAACUAAAGUAAAAUUCGACAGCUUCAAGAGACAUCUUAAAUCUUCAUUCUUAAACAAUUCUAAUCUAAUAAGUAAAAGGUGCUAAUUUAAGAUUCAGAAAAUUUACUUCCUUUAACAGAAGUUACAUAAAUUGAGAUAGACACAUCAAAAAGGCAUUUUUUUCUUCUUUGUAAAAAUAUUCACCACAGAAUCUAGAACGGUUACUCACAAUCAAAGCUUCAAAAACCAAAAGUAUUAAUCACUCAAAUAGACUUUAAAGAUGUAUUAUUAAAAGCAUCUAUAUGAACAUUUUAAAGCCUCGAUUAAACAUAGCAGGACAUGAAUUCAGCAAGACAACUAAAUUCCUCUUAACUCCAAAGUCAUCUAGCAACACAAAUUAAAAUUAAAAAGGAAAGGGUUAUAUAUACAUGAUCACAAACACACACACACGCAAAUAUAUAACAUGUAUAUAUAAACCAAUGCAGAAAUCAACUUCUUCAACAGAACAAAUGCAGAAAACAGUUACAGCAAUCCAACUGAAGCCAUGCAUGAAACAAAGCAGAAGCAUUUGAUUAAAAAUAGUUUACCUGCAAAAGGAAGCAGUAAUAAAGCGCAUGGAGAGAGUCACUGCUGAAUUUCCAACCAAAAGAAUUUCCUAUACGACAUACUUUAAGCCGAUAGGAUUAGUAACAAAUUUAAUCCCACUAUACCUACCGAUCGCAUUAGCAUGACCAAAUUACUUGUUGAACAAGCAUGUGAACUACAUAAAAAUCUGUGCGAGUUGGAACACUUUCCGUACUUCACACCACCGAUAAAGACAUCAGAUAUCACUUAUCAGUUGUUUCUCACGAUAAUAGAUAAUGACUACGGAUGACAUAUCCCAAGCCUGCAUGGAUAAUCAUUGCAUUGGUAAGAAUUGAAACUUAUGCUUUCGCUCCAUCUUGGCAUCAACACCCAAUAAAGGUUACCACUAUGAAAGCUUGUAUCUCCGAAAGAGAAUCAAUCAUCACCUUCUUUGCAGUACAGAGUAUCAAACAGUCGUGUGAAAGCAGAUCGAUCUAUUUUCUAAAUUUGGAUGCCCACAAAAUCCAGAUAUGCCAAAUCAUUUCCUCCAAUGAUGCAACAUAUAGAAGUAAUUGAUAAAAGUCUAGACUCAGGCCUGUACAUUCAAUCCUAUCUCCAUACAUCAAUGUGAGAUUGCACAAAAGAUUUGUGUUUUUAUAAGUGAAGCACAGAAUUGUACAAGUACUUCACUCGAUUUAGUUAGGAUUGCCCUAAAUGCAAGUCCUGCUUAGAUAACAUUCCGUUUGAGCGGAGGACCUAUCAGAAACCGGCCCUCUACCCUUUCCUGCCUUCCCCAGUAUGUUGUUGUUGCCUAAAUGCAAGAAGAUAAACAUAUAAAAAGCGAAAACAUUUGUAGCUACCACCUGAUAAAAUGAAACUAAAACAAAGAACAAACAUUGUAAUUUUAACAACAAACCUAGUCUCAACUUCUGAGGAAAAAGAAGACAGUUACCACCUUUAACGAAAAUGGAACAAAGCAAUUCGAUUUGACAAAUUUUAUGACAAGGUUACCUUUGACCAUCGACGUUAUGCUGUGCACUGCUCCCUCCGCUGGCAUUGAUAUUAUCCUCAGCAUCCUGCCACCGUCCACUGUUCCCUCCGCUAGCAUUGAUAUUAUCCUCAGCAGCUUGCCACCGUCCACUGCUCCCUCUGCUAGCAUUGAUAUGCCACUGUCCACUCCUCCCUCUGCUAGCACUGGUAUUAUCCUUAGCAGCCUGCCACGCCUGACGCUGGAUGUAGACAAAUGGAAAAACCCUAGGCAUAAUGGUCCUUCGAAUCAUCACUUCAGAUGGAGCAGUCUGCCCCAUGGGUGGAUAGAAGUUUUGAACACCACUUGUUUCAAUCCUUCUAAUCAUCGCCUCAGAUGGAGCAACAGUCUGUCCUAUGGGCGGAUAGAAGUUCUGAACACCACUUAAUGUGGAGCCAAGCAUGCUGGGCCCAAAACCAGUACCCUCUUCCCUGAUCUCAUCCUUAAGAACAAUGUCAACUAGGAAAUCAAAAAUUUCAAUCAGCUCAAUAGCCUUGGUGAUAUCCUUCUACUGCAACAUCCGUCUUUUGUUCUCCUCCGUGCUAAACCAGGAGCGGAAAGUAAGUUCCUGCAUGAACAUUUCACAUUCUUUAGCAAACAACAUUGGUUCUUCCGCGGUGACCUUGGAUACACCCUCGUUAUAUAUCAUCAUCUGUUGAUACGAGCAAGCGGAAAUUUGUUGUUCUUGAAAUCGUUCAUCUCCUUGAUUUCCUUGAGUUGUAACGCCCAAAACGCCUCCAUCUGCUGCUGCUGAAGGAGUUGGUAGUAGGGUACCGGCAGUCGGUACGCAGCUGCCGCCGCCGCUGCUACAUUCUCCGUCAAUACUGUUCCUGCUGCUGAAGUAGAUAGUAGUAGGGUACCUGCAUUGGGUACCCAGCUGCCGCCGCUGCAUUCUCCUCACAUUGUUGAGAUUUGUUCUCCACUAUACUUUAGACGAAGGAAGAUAAUUUAUAUGGAGAAAAUGGCCGAAAAAGCAGGUCGGAAUGAAAAUAGGUGAUUUGAGAUAGAUAACAUGUUGAGUUGCGUAGAAGACUCAUAUUGGAGAAAAUUUUGAUUUUAAUUAGAAUAAAAUAUAUUUGUGUAUGUUAUUUAUGAUUAAAGUUUUUCGGCACGUCCAUUGCACGUGUAUGCCAGUCAUGUAAUAUUUAAUUUUAACAAUUGGAUUUACAAGUCAAACUGGUAUUAAUUUGUACCUGUUUUAUCUUACAUUUUGUUUUACAAAACUAAAAUGUAGAGGUUAUUUUUGUAAAUAAAUAUUUAUAAAAACUAUACAAGAAAUAUCAUUUCUAAUACAUCAAACCAAACAACGUAGAGGGUAUUUUUAUAAACAAAUAUUUAUAAAAACUCUACAAGAAAUAUCAUUUCUAAUACAACAAAGAAAUAUCAGUUGUUGCUGUUGAAGGAGCUGGUAAUAGAGUACCUUCAUCGAGUAUCCAACUGGCGUCGCUGCAUUCUCCGCCGAUUGUUGUUCCUGUUGCUGCUGUUGAAGAUGGUAGCAGGGUACUUGCAUUGGGCACCUAGCUGCCGCCACUGCAUUCUCCCCCAUUGUUGCGAUUUGUUCUCCAUUGUGCUUUAGACGAAGGACGAUAAUUUCUAUGUAGAAGGUGGUCGAAAAGCAGGUCAAGGUGAAAAUAGGUGAUUUGGGCUAGAUAACAUGUUGAGUUGUGUUAAUCAUAUUGGAGAAAAUUUUGAUUUUAAUACGAAUAAAAUAUAUUCAUGUAAAUGUUAUUUAAGAGUAUAACUUUUUGGCACGUGCAUUGCACGUGUAUGCCAAUCAUGUAAUGUUUAUUUUUAAUAAUUGUGUUUACAAGUUAGAUUGGUAUUAUUUCGUACCUGUUUUAUCUUACAUUUUGUUUUACAAAACAAGAGUAUAGAAGGUACUUUUGCAGAGAAAUACUAUACAAACUAUACAAGACAUAUUAUUUCUAAUACAUCAAACCAAACAACGUAUAGGAAAUAAUGCCAAUAUAACUCAUACCAACUUUAUUAAUGCAGUCAUUACUAAUACACCAUAUUGAACAUUAUUCUUAUUCACUCUACCAAACGAUUCCAUAGUUAAAUAGUCACUAUCCUUAACCGCCUUGAGCUGGAAGGCCCAAAACGCCUCCAACUAUCGUUGUUCUUCCUGUUCCUUUUGUCGCUGUUGAAGGAGUUGGUAGUAAGGUGCCUAUAUCGGGUAUCCGAUCUCCAUUGCAUUCUCCGCCAAUUGUUGUUCCUAUUGCUGCGGUUGAAGGUAGUAGUAGGGUACCUGUAUUAGGUACUCAACUGUCGCCGCUGCAUUCUCCGCCCAUUUUUGCGAUUUGUUCUCCAUUAUGCUUUAGGUGAAGGACGAUAAUUUCUAAGGAGAAGAUGGCCGAAAAGCGGGUCGGAAUGAAAAUAGGUGAUUGGAGAAAAUUUUGAUUUUAAUUAAAAUAAAAUAUAGUCAUGUAUAUGUUAUUUAAAAGUAUAGUUUUUCGGUACGUGCAUCGCACG